This 58075-nucleotide long non-coding RNA is filed under the name Triticum aestivum (bread wheat). Its description in RNAcentral is "long non-coding RNA (TAES_LNC025267)". The stretch from base 41280 to 41348 matches the Rfam family "tRNA". The record is from RNAcentral. Lineage: Eukaryota; Viridiplantae; Streptophyta; Magnoliopsida; Poales; Poaceae.
GGAGAAGAAGUGAAGCCGAAGGCAAAAGGAUGCGUGAUUAGAAAUAGAUACGGUUGCAUUGGAUUGGUUGAUGGGUGGAUUGAUGGUGUGUAGCGUGACUGAUAAUAAGCAACUGGUCCUGAAUUUGGGGAGUUGAUUGUAUGGGUUUGGUGGAAAGCCACCAACUGAAGGGAAAUACCCAAUGGUUCCUGGGUACAUAUGUACCCUAUAUGGGGAUUUAUUUUUAAUAGUUAAACAAAAAAUCAAAAUAGUUAAGAAACUAUUUUUAGAAUAAAGUUGACUUACUUGCGCGCUAGUAUACACAUUUUCAGAAAAAAGAAAACUAUGUUGACUUCACAGUGAAAAAGACAAAAUUUAUUUGCUACUAUAGAUCACUAUUCACGCUAUUUUGAUGGGAAAUUUAUCUUUUUUGAAAAGAAGUCAAAGAUGAAUUUUAUGUUUUUGUCAGUUUUCUCACUACUACAAUGGAAGGUCAAGUUUUUAUCAAAAAUAUUUUUAGAAAUUUUUGACUUUUUAUUGAAUUACUAAAAAAAAUUGCAUAUAGGGUACAUAUGUACCCAGGAACCAAAAGUUCCCCUCCACCAACGGCGGCGAGCACCCGUACCAGAUCAUGUCGGACUACCGGACGCUGCUGGUGUCGGACUGGACGCGGCUCGGGUUCGCGGAGGUGGAUUAUGGUUGGGGCCCGCCGGCGCACGUGGUGCCCCUGACGAACCUGGACUACAUCGCGACGUGCAUACUGGUGAAGCCAUGGGCGCACAAGCCGGGGGCGCGGCUCAUCACCCAGUGCGUGACGUCCGACCGCGUCGCCGCCUUCCACCAAGGAAUGCUCGACAUGAACUGACCCGAGCUGACCGGAGCGGAAGAAAUGAAGCCGAAGGCAAAGGGAUGCGUACGUAGGUGUAAGCAUCACUCAUGAUUAGAGAUAGAGAAAAAUUCAUCAUAGGUCACAAAAGUUGAGCCGGCUGAUACUUAAGUACCACUACUUCAAAAUAUCCGAACUACAGUCCAUAUACUUGUGCGGAGGGUUCACUUUGGUCCAUAUACGAAUUGAGCUACGUAUUCGUUGACUUGGCCGAGUCAGCCGUUGCCAGCUAUGCUUUGACCGCCACAUGUGCAACACCUGGUGGGGGGGGGGGGGUUAAUACUAGUAGUUCGGGUUUUUUUUGCAAAUGCGCCAACACCUGGCGAUUAAACGCCCCUCACCAAGUCGGACCGCACCCGGUCGCACCCUCCCGCACCCUCUCUGCUCGUCGUCGCUGCCGAGGUAGUGCGUUUGCUCGUCGGCGUCGAGAACGGCUCCAUGAGCACGUCGUCGGACGCUGAGCCGCCGCCGUCCGCGCCGUUCGGGAGGGGCCUGCGCGACGUGCCUCUUGCUCCUUCGCGUCGUCGUGAUGAUUCCUCGCCGCCCCUGUACGGUACGUCGCUGUCACCAGCAGCUCCGUUGAUCGAUCUGUGCAAUUUAGCUCUCGUAAAGAGUUCUUGGCCGCAUCAAUUGCGCGUACGAGCUAGGGUUUGGCCGUUCGUUCAACUCUCUGACGGAUUGGGUGUGGGGUGGUAGGGUUUUAGCAGUUUCUUGAAGAUCUUUGUGGCAGGCCAAAAAUAGGGCUGCGUCAUGGAGGGUUUGCAGUAGAUGGCCAUGUUUGCGGAGAUCUGGAGUGGUUAAGGUUCUUUCUCCCCCCCCAAUUUUUCAUCGGUCCAGGGGUCUAGGGUUUAAGCAGUAAAGUUUGCUUUUAGUGUCAGAGUGUUAAUUGGACCAAAAAUUGUUGUAAUUUGCAAUUACAUUGUGUCAGAUUUACCAAAGAUGGUUGCUUUUCGACCUGUAAGAUCAUACAUUUGUUAAUUGGAGCCAUGAAUCUCUAUUUUUCUUUCUGAAAAAGGUAAAAAAGUCUGAAUGUCUGAACUGUAGUCUGAAAUGUCUGAACCUCUCUGUAGUCUGAAAUGUCUGAACUUUUUCAACUUGAUUGUUUUGCAGGACCCUUAAGCAACCACUUCUCUGUUAAGGUUAUACAUGGUGGCUACUUUCUGUGUGCUGGCAAGCAUAUGGAUUAUCACAAAGGUCACUCCAUUUGAUAUGAUUACUGUGACAUAGAUAAUUGGACACCUAAUGUUGUAGCCAGUCUAGUGGAGAAAAUUGGAUAUGAGUUUGAGGGCAGGAUCGGGGCUUAUUGGUGUGUUCCUGGAUUGACAGUGUAUAAGAAUGGAUUAAGAGAGAUCAAGAUAGGGGACAACACUAUGACAGAAAACAUGAAGGAUUGUGUUCUAAAUGGCAACCACUUCCAAUAGAUAUUUCUUGAUCAUGAUGUGAGCAUGAUAUCAUAUGUUUCUGUUGUUCAAGUCCACUCUGAUGAUGAGGAUCCUCCAAUUGUCAGGUUCAGUGGCAUUAGGACAAAGAAGGAGAAUGCACACCAGCAACAAGCAGAGUAGACACAACAGCAGCAAGAGGAGCAGGCUCAGCUCACCCUAGUGGAAUAGGAGCAGGCUGAGCUCCCUCAAGUGGAACAGGAGCUGCCUCAGCAUGAUCAAGAGCAUGAGCAUGAUCAUGAUCAUGAUCAAGAGCAUGAGCAAGAUGAAGCAGAGUCAGAAAGUGUAGCAGAGUCAGAAGAAGAUGAUUUCAUACCAAGUCCACCCCAUCCUGGAACUACUUACCUUUCAUCUCAGUUUGGGUUUAGGGCAAGGAAAUCCUUUAGGUUUUUGAACAUGGAUGCAGCAAACACAGUUGGCUGUUCAGUAGUGCAGGAUUCAGAUGAAGAUUACAUUCCACAAAUUGUUGAUUCAGACAUUGAUCUGCAGGAUGAUGAUGACUUGUUUGACAAACAUGUUGAUUGUGAGAAGGGCAAAGGACCAGCAGUCCAAGAAGAAGUUGAUGAUGAAGGAAAUAUGCCCUAGAGGCAAUAAUAAAGUUAUUAUUUAUUUCCUUAUAUCAUGAUAAAUGUUUAUUAUUCAUGCUAGAAUUGUAUUAACCGGAAACAUAAUACAUGUGUGAAUACAUAGACAAACGAAGUGUCACUAGUAUGCCUCUACUUGACUAGCUCGUUAAUCAAAGAUGGUUAUGUUUCCUAACCAUGAACAAUGAGUUGUUAUUUGAUUAACGGGAUCACAUCAUUAAGUGAAUGAUCUGAUUGACAUGACCCAUUCCAUUAGCUUAGCACCCGAUCGUUUAGUAUGUUGCUAUUGCUUUCUUCAUGACUUAUACAUGUUCCUAUAACUAUGAGAUUAUGCAACUCCCGUUUACCGGAGGAACACUUUGGGUACUACCAAACUUCACAACGUAACUGGGUGAUUAUAAAGGAGUACUACAGGUGUCUCCAAAGGUACAUGUUGGGUUGGCGUAUUUUGAGAUUAGGAUUUGUCACUCCGAUUGUGGGAGAGGUAUCUCUGGGCCCUCUCGGUAAUGCACAUCACUUAAGCCUUGCAAGCAUUGCAACUAAUAAGUUAGUUGCGGGAUGAUGUAUUACAGAACGAGUAAAGAGACUUGCCGGUAACGAGAUUGAACUAGGUAUUUGGAAUACCGACGAUCGAAUCUCGGGCAAGUAACAUACCGAUGACAAAGGGAACGACGUAUGUUGCUAUGCGGUCUGACCGAUAAAGAUCUUCGUAGAAUAUGUAGGAGCCAAUAUGGGCAUCCAGGUCCCGCUAUUGGUUAUUGACCGGAGACGUGUCUCGGUCAUGUCUACAUUGUUCUCGAACCCAUAGGGUCCGCACGCUUAAGGUUACGAUGACAGUUAUAUUAUGAGUUUAUGCAUUUUGAUGUACCGAAGGUUGUUCGGAGUCCCGGAUGUGAUCACGGACAUGACGAGGAGUCUCGAAAUGGUCGAGACAUAAAGAUUGAUAUAUUGGAAGCCUAUGUUUGGAUAUCGGAAGUGUUCCGAGUGAAAUCGGGAUUUUACCGGAGUACCGGGAGGUUACCGGAACCCCCCGGGAGCUAAAUGGGCCUUAGUGGGCUUUAGUGGAAAAGAGAAGGGGCAGCCCAAGAUGGGCCGCGCGCCUCCCCCCUCCCCUAGUCCUAUUAGGACAAGGAGAGGUGGCCGGCCCCUCCUCUCUCUUUUCCCCCUCCGCGAAUCCUAUUCCAACUAGGAUUGGGGGGGGGGGAAUCCUACUCCCAGAGGGAGUAGGACUCUCCUGGCGCGCCCUCCUUGGCCGGCCAGCCUCCCCCCCUUAGUCCUUUAUAUACGGAGGCAGGGGCACCCCAGAGACACACAAGUUGAUCCACGUGAUCUAUUCCUUAGCCGUGUGCGGCGCCCCCAGCCACCAUAGUCCUCGAUAAUAUUGUAGCGGUGCUUAGGCGAAGCCCUGCAGCAGUAGCACAUCAGGAUCAUCACCACGCCGUUGUGCUGACGGAACUCUUCCCCGACACUUUGCUGGAUCGGAGUCCGGGGAUCGUCAUCGAGCUGAACGUGUGCUAGUCCUCGGAGGUGUCGUAGUUUCGGUGCUUGAUCGGUCGGAUCGUGAAGACGUACGACUACAUCAACCAAACGCUUCCGUUGUCGAUCUACUAGGUAUGUAGAUCAUACUCUCCCCUCUCGUUGCUAUGCAUCACAUGAUCUUGCGUGUGCGUAGGAAAUUUUUUGAAAUUACUACGAAACCCAACAGUGGUAUCAGAGCCUAGGUUUUAUAUGUUGAUGUUAUUUGCACGAAUAGAACACAAGUGAGUUGUGGGCGAUAUAAGUCAUACUGCCUACCAGCAUGUCAUACUUUGGUUCGGCGGUAUUGUUGGAUGAAGCGGCCCAGACCGACAUUACGCGUACGCUUACGCAAGACCGGUUCUCCCGACGUGCUUUGCACAGAGGUGGCUUGUGGGUGACAGUUUCUCCAACUUUAGUUGAACCGAGUAUAGCUACGCCCGGUCCUUGCGAAGGUUAAAACAGAGUCAAAUUGACAAACUAUCGUUGUGGUUUUGAUGCGUAGGUGAGAUUGGUUCUUACUUAAGCCCGUAGCAGCCACGUAAAACUUGCAACAACAAAGUAGAGGACGUCUAACUUGUUUUUGCAGGGCAUGUUGUGAUGUGAUAUGGUCAAGGCAUGAUGCUGAAUUUUAUUGUAUGAGAUGAUCAUGUUUUGUAACCGAGUUAUCGGCAACCGGCAGGAGCCAUAUGGUUGUCUCUUUAUUGUAUGCAAUUCAAUCGCGAUGUAAUGCUUUACUUUAUCACUAAACGGUAGUGAUAGUCGUGGAAGCAUAAGCUUGGCGAGACGACAACGAUGCUACGAUGGAGAUCAAGGUGUCACGCCGAUGACGAUGGUGAUCACCACGGUGCUUCGGAGAUGGAGAUCACAAGCACAAGAUGAUGAUGUCCAUAUGAUGUUUAUCUUUUAUGCAUCUUAUCUUGCUUUGAUUGACGGUAGCAUUAUAAGAUGAUCUCUCACUAAAUUAUCAAGUAGUGUUCUCCCUGAGUAUGCACCGUUGCGAAAGUUCUUCGUGCUGAGACACCACAUGAUGAUCGGGUGUGAUAGGUUCUACGUUCAAAUACAACGGGUGCAAAACAGUUGCACACGUGGAAUACUCAGGUUAAACUUGACGUGCCAAGCAUAUACAGAUAUGGCCUCGGAACACGGAGACUGAAAGGUCGAGCAUGAAUCAUAUAGUAGAUAUGAUCAACAUAGUGAUGUUCACCAAUGAAACUACUGCAUCUCACGUGAUGAUCGGACAUGGUUUAGUUGAUUUGGAUCACGUGAUCACUUAGAGGAUUAGAGGGAUGUCUAUCUAAGUGGGAGUUAUUAAUGAAUAUGAUUAAAUUGAACUUAAAUUUAUCAUGAACUUAGUCCUGGUAGUAUUUUGCAAAUUAUGUUAUAGAUCAAUAGCUCGCGUUGUUGCUUCCCUGUGUUUAUUUUGAUAUGUUCCUAGAGAAAAUUGUAUUGAAAGAUGUUAGUAGCAAUGAUGCGGAUUGGAUCCGUAAUCUGAGGUUUAUCUUCAUUGCUGCACAGAAGAAUUAUGUCCUUGAUGCACCGCUAGGUGACGGACCUAUUGCAGGAGCAGAUGCAGACGUUAUGAACGUUUGGCUAGCUCAAUAUGAUGACUACUUGAUAGUUUAGUGCACCAUGCUUAAUGGCUUAGAAUCGGGACUUCAAAGACGUUUUGAACGUCAUGGAGCAUAUGAGAUGUUCCAGGAGUUGAAGUUAAUAUUUCAAGCAAAUACCUGAGUUGAGAGAUAUGAAGUCUCCAACAAGUUCUAUAGCUAAAAGAUGGAGGAGAAUCGCUCAACUAGUGAGCAUGUGCCCAGAUUGUCUGAGUACUAUAAUUGCUUGAAUCAAGUGGGAGUUAAUCUUCCAGAUAAGAUAGUGAUUGACAGAAUUCUCUAGUCACCAUCACCAAGUUAGUAGAACGUCGUGAUGAACUAUAAUAUGCAAGGGAUGACAAAAUAAUUCCCAAGCUCUUCGUGAUGCUGAAAUCGACGAAGGUAGAAAUCAAGAAAAACAUCAAGUGUUGAUGGUUAACAAGACCACUAGUUUCAAGAAAAGGGCAAAGGGAAGAAGGGGAACUUCAAGAAGAACGGCAAGCAAGUUGCUGCUCAAGUGAAGAAGCCCAAGUCUGGUCCUAAGCCUGAGACUAAGUGCUUCUACUGCAAAGGGACUGGUCACUAGAAGCGGAACUACCCCAAGUGAUUGGCCGAUAAGAAGGAUGGCAAAGUGAACAUAAGUAUAUUUGAUAUACAUCUUAUUGAUGUGUACUUUACUAGUGUUUAUAGCAACCCCUCAGUAUUUGAUACUAGUUCAGUUGCUAGGAUUAGUAACUAGAAACGGGAGUUGCAGAAUAAACAGAGACUAGUUAAGGGUGAAGUUACGAUGUGUGUUGGAAGUGGUUCCAAGAUUGAUAUGAUCAUCAUCGCACACUCCCUAUAAUUUCGGGAUUAGUGUUGAACCUAAAUAAGUGUUAUUUGGUGUUUGCGUUCAGCAUGAAUAUGAUUUGAUCAUGUUUAUUGCAAUACGGUUAUUCAUUUAAGUAAGAGAAUAAAUUGUUGUUCUGUUUACAUGAAUAAAACCUUAUAUGGUUACACACCCAAUGAAAAUAGUUCGUUGGAUCUCGAUCGUAGUGAUACACAUAAUCAUAAUAUUGAAACCAAAAGAUGCAAAGUUAAUAAUGAUAGUGCAACUUAUUUGUGGCACUGCCGUUUAGGUCAUAUUGGUGUAAAGCGCAUGAAGAAACUCCAUGCUGAUGGGUUUUUGGAAACACUUGAUUAUGAAUCAGUUGAUGCUUGCGAACCAUGCCUCAUGGGCAAGAUGACUAAGACUCCAUUCUUCGGAACAAUGGAGCGAGCAACAGAUUUGUUAGAAAUCAUACAUACUGAUGUAUGUGGUCCGAUGAAUAUUGAGGCUCGCGACAGGUAUCAUUAUUUUCUGAUCUUCACAGAUGAUUUAAGCAGAUAUGGGUAUAUCUACUUAAUGAAACAUAAGUCUGAAACAUUUGAAAAGUUCAAAUAAUUUCAGAGUGAAGUUGAAAAUCAUCGUAACAAGAAAAUAAAGUUUCUACGAUCUAAUCGUGGAGAAGAGUAUUUGAGUUACGAGUUUGGCUUUCAGUUAAAAAACAAUGUGAAAUAGUUUCACUACUCACGCCACCUGGAACACCACAAUGUAAUGGUGUGUCCGAACGUCAUAACCGUACUUUAUUAGAUAUGGUGCGAUCUAUGAUGUCUCUUACCGAUCUACCACUAUCGUUUUGGGGUUAUGCAUUAGAGACAACCGCAUUCACGUUAAAUAGGGCUCCAUCAAAAUCCGUUGAGACGACACAAUCUGAACUAUGGUUUGGCAAGAAACCAAAGUUGUCGUUUCUUAAAGUUUGGGAUUGUGAUGCUUAUAUGAAAAAGUUUCAGCCUGAUAAGCUCCAACCCAAAUCGGAGAAAUAUGUCUUCAUAGGAUACCCAAAGGAGACUAUUGGGUACACCUUCUAUCACAGAUCCGAAGGCAAGACAUUCGUUGCUAAGAAUGGAUCCUUUCCAGAGAAGGAGUUUCUCUCGAAAGAAGUGAGUGGGAGGAAAGUAGAACUUGAUAAGGUAAUUGUACCAUCUCCCUUAUUGGAAAGUAGUUCAUCACAGAAAUCUGUUCUUGUGACUACUACACCAAUUAGUGAGGAAGAUAAUGAUGAUGAUCAUGUAACUUCAGAUCAAAUUACUACCGAAUCUCGUAGGUAAACCAGAGUGAGAUCUGCACCAGAGUGGUACGGUAAUCCUAUUCUGGAAGUCAUGUUACUAGACCAUGACGAACUUGCGAACUAUGAAGAAGCGAUGGUGAGCCCAGAUUCCGCAAAAUGGCUUGAGGCCAUGAAAUCUGAGAUGAGAUCCAUGUAUAAGAACAAAGUAUGGACUUUGGUUGACUUGCCAGAUGAUCGGCAAGCCAUAGAAAAUAAAUGGAUUUUCAAGAGGAAGACGGACGCUGAUAGUAGUGUUACUAUCUACAAAGCUAGAAUUGUCGCAAAAGGUUUUCGACAAGUUCAAGGUGUUGACUACGGUGAGAGUUUCUCACUCGUAUCUAUGCUUAAGUCUGUCCGAAUCAUGUUAGCAAUUGCCGCAUUUUAUGAAAUCUGGCAAAUGGAUAAACAAAACUGCAUUCCUUAAUAGAUUUAUUAAAGAAGAGUUGUAUAUGAUACAACCAGAAGGUUUUGUCAAUCCUAAAGGUGCUAACAAAAUAUGCAAGCUCCAGCGAUCCAUCUAUGGACUGGUGCAAGCAUCUCGGAGUUGGAAUAUACGCUUUGAUAAGUUGAUCAAAGAACAUAGUUUUAUACAGACUUGCGAUGAAGCCUGUAUUGACAAGAAAGUGAGUGGGAGCACUACAACAUUUCUGAUAAGUAUAUAUGUAUGACAUAUUGUUGAUCAGAAAUAAUGUAGAAUUAAUCUGCAAAGCAUAAAGGAGUGUUUUUAAAGAAGUUUUUCAAAGAAAGACCUCGGUAAAGCUGCUUACAUAUUGAGCAUCAAGAUCUAUAGAGAUAGAUCAAGACGCUUGAUAAGUUUUUUCAAUGAGUACAUACCUUGACAAGAUUUUGAAGUAGUUCAAAAUGGAACAGUCAAAGAAAGAGUUCUUGCCUGUGUUGCAAGGUGUGAAAUUGAGUAAGACUCAAAGCCCGACCAUGGCAGAAGAUAGAAAUAGAAUGAAAGUCAUUCCCUAUGCCUCAGCCAUAGGUUCUAUAAAGUAUGCCAUGCUGUGUACCAGAUCUAUUGUAUACCCUACACUGUGUUAAGCAAGGGAGUACAAUAGUGAUCUAAGAGUAGAUCACUGGACAACGGUCAAAAUUAUCCUUAGUGGAAUAAGGAAAUAUUUCUCAGUUAUGGAGGUGACAAAAAGGUUCAUCGUAAAAAGUUACGUCGAUGCAAGUUUUGACACAGAUCUGGAUGACUCUAAGUCUCGAUCUAGAUACAUAUUGAAAGUGGGAGCAAUAAGCUAGAGUAGCUCCAUGCAGAGCAUUGUUGACAUAGAAAUUCGCAAAAUACUUACGGAUCUGGAUGUGACAGACCCGUUGACUAAAAUUAUCUCACAAGCAAAACAUGAUCACACCUUAGUACUCUUUGGGUGUUAAUCACAUAGCGAUGUGAACUAGAUUACUGACUCUAGUAAACCCUUUUGGGUGUUGAUCACAUAUCGAUGUGAACUAUGGGUGUUAAUCACAUGGUGAUGUGAACUAUUGCUGUUAAAUCACAUGGCGAUGUGAACUAGAUUAUUGACUCUACUGCAAGUGGGAGACUAAAGGAAAUAUGCCCUAGAGGCAAUAAUAAAGUUAUUAUUUAUUUCCUUAUAUCAUGAUAAAUGUUUAUUAUUCAUGCUAGAAUUGUAUUAACUGGAAACAUAAUACAUGUGUGAAUACAUAGACAAACAAAGUGUCACUAGUAUGCCUCUACUUGACUAGCUCGUUAAUCAAAGAUGGUUAUGUUUCCUAACCAUGAACAAUGAGUUGUUAUUUGAUUAACGGGAUCACAUCAUUAAGUGAAUAAUCUGAUUGACAUGACCCAUUCCAUUAGCUUAGCACCCGAUCGUUUAGUAUGUUGCUAUUGCUUUCUUCAUGACUUAUACAUGUUCCUAUAACUAUGAGAUUAUGCAACUCCCGUUUACCGGAGGAACACUUUGGGUACUACCAAACGUCACAAUGUAACUGGGUGAUUAUAAAGGAGUACUACACGUGUCUCCAAAGGUACAUGUUGGGUUGGCGUAUUUCGAGAUUAGGAUUUGUCACUUCGAUUGUCGGAGAGGUAUCUCUGGGCCCUCUCGGUAAUGCACAUCACUUAAGCCUUGCAAGCAUUGCAACUAAUAAGUUAGUUGCGGGAUGAUGUAUUACAGAACGAGUAAAGAGACUUGCCGGUAACGAGAUUGAACUAGGUAUUUGGAAUACCGACGAUCGAAUCUCGGGCAAGUAACAUACCGAUGACAAAGGGAACGACGUAUGUUGUUAUGCGGUUUGACCGAUAAAGAUCUUCGUAGAAUAUGUAGGAGCCAAUAUGGGCAUCCAGGUCCCGCUAUUGGUUAUUGACCGGAGACGUGUCUCGGUCAUGUCUACAUUGUUCUCGAACCCGUAGGGUCUGCACGCUUAAGGUUACGAUGACAGUUAUAUUAUGAGUUUAUGCAUUUUGAUGUACCGAAGGUUGUUCGGAGUCCCGGAUGUGAUCACGGACAUGACGAGGAGUCUCGAAAUGGUCGAGACAUAAAGAUUGAUAUAUUGGAAGCCUAUGUUUGGAUAUCGGAAGUGUUCCGGGUGAAAUCGGGAUUUUACCGGAGUACCGAGAGGUUACCGGAACCCCCCGGGAGCUAAAUGGGCCUUAGUGGGCUUUAGUGGAAAAGAGAAGGGGCAGCCAAGAUGGGCCGCACGCCUCCCCCCUCCCCUAAUCCUAUAAGGACAAGGAGAGGUGGCCAGCCCCCCCUCUCUCUUUUCCCCCUCCGCGAAUCCUAUUCCAACUAGGAUUGGGGGGGGGGGGAAUCUUACUCCCAGAGGGAGUAGGACUCUCCUGGCGCGCCCUCCUUGGCCGGCCAGCCUCCCCCCUUAGUCCUUUAUAUACGGAGGCAGGGGCACCCCAGAGACACACAAGUUGAUCCACGUGAUCUAUUCCUUAGCCGUGUGCGGCGCCCCCAGCCACCAUAGUCCUCGAUAAUAUUGUAGCGGUGCUUAGGCGAAGCCCUGCAGCAGUAGCACGUCAAGAUCGUCACCACGCCAUCGUGCUGACGGAACUCUUCCCCGACACUUUGCUGGAUCGGAGUCCGGGGAUCGUCAUCGAGUUGAACGUGUGCUAGAACUAGGAGGUGCCGUAGUUUCGGUGCUUGAUCGGUCGGAUCGUGAAGACGUACGACUACAUCAACCAAACGCUUCCGUUGUCGAUCUACUAGGUAUGUAGAUCAUACUCUCCCCACUCGUUUCUAUGCAUCACAUGAUCUUGCGUGUGCGUAGGAAAUUUUUUGAAAUUACUACGAAACCCAACAGAUGAUCCUACUGAAGAUGUGGAUAUUUGUUUGCCAUCCUCUGAUGAAUAUAAGGUGAAGCUGAAUUUCAAAAGUUUUAGAGAGGAAGACCUGACUAAACCACAGUUUCAAGUUGGCCAGACCUUUGGAUCUGUUGAGUUCCUGAGGAAAGCUAUCAAAGAGUACAGCUGUCAGGAGAGAGUUGACAUUAAAUGCCCUAGAAAUGAUAGGAAAAGACUGAAUGCCAUUUGUGAAGAUGGGUGCCCUUGGACCUUGUCUGCAUCAUUUGAUGGGAGAAUCAACUACUUCAUGAUCAAGAAAUACAACCCAAAGCAUACAUGUAUAAAGAAAUGGUGUGUUAAGUCAUUCACUGCUCCUUUUAUGGCUGGAAAAUAUCUUGAUUCUUUCAGAGCAGAUGAAAACAUGAAUAUGAAUUUUUUUGCAAUGGUGGUUCAGAAAGAUUGGAACAUGACAGCAAUAAAAAGCAAGCUUAGAAGGGCUAAGAGGUUAGUGAAGAAAGUUAUUGAAGGAGAUGAGUUGGAGCAGUACAACGGCAUGUGGGAUUAUGCACAAGAAUUCAGAAGAUCAAACUCAGGGAGUUCUUUCUAUGUGGGUGUCAGUAAUGGCAUAUUUUCAAGUUGUUAUUUCUCUCUUGAUGCCUGCAAGGGUUUGAUGCAAGCUUGUAGGUCUGUCAUUUGUUUGAAUGGAUGCCACCUGAAGACAAAGUAUGGAGGUGUUAUGAUGUGUGUUGUUGGCAUGGAUCCUAAUGACUGCAUUUACCCUAUAGCUUUUGCAGUUGUUGAGGUCGAGAACACUGACACAUGGAAAUGGUUUCUAUCAAAUCUGAAGAGUGACUUGGGAAUUGUAAACACAGACCCACGGACUAUAAUGUCAAACAAGCAAAAGGGCCUGAUCAAGGGAGUGAGGCAGCACUUUCCUGAUGAAGAGCACAGACAUUGUGUUAGGCAUAUAUGGCAGAAUUUUCAGUAAACACACAAAGGAGAUGUUCUUAAAAACCAGUUAUGGAUGUGUGCAAGGAGCACAACACCUGAACUGUGGGCUGCAAGCAUGGAGAAAAUGAAGGUCAUAAGCCUAGAAGCAUACAAGUGACUUGAGCAGCUACCACCCAACACUUGGGUUAGGGGCUUCCAAAGAGAAUUGGUCAAGUGUGAUAUCCUUCUGAACAACAACUGUGAGGUUUUCAACAAAUAUAUUCUUGAGGCUAGGGAGAUGCAUCUCAGAUCAAUGAUUGACAAGAUCAAAACACAGCUCAUGGUCAGGUUCUAUAACAAAAGAAAAUAGGCAGAGGCUCGGCCUGGCUCCAUAUGCCCAAAAAUUAAGAAAAGAAUUGAGAAGAACAUAGAGCUGUCAGCUACAUGCAUGGUUUCAGGGGCUGGUGAUGGCAUCUUUCAGGUUGACAACAGGAACAUGGCAUACAUUGUUGACAUGAAGGAAGAAAGCUGUACAUGCAAAAGGUGGGAUCUUAGUGGAGUUCCAUGUCACCAUGCAAUUGCAUGCUGCAGACAUCAGAGGAUUGAUCCUGAGAGUUUGGUGCACUUCUGUUACAGUAUAGAAGCAUUCAAGCUAGCAUACAAACCCAUUAUCAAGCCUUGAAGAGAUAGGAGUGAGUGGCAGAAGAUGAAUGGCUGUGAGAUCAAGCCACCUGUCUAUAAAAAAAGUAGCGAGGCCUUCAAACAAGAGUAGGAGAAAGCAGCCUUAUGAGAUUGAAAAUAAAGAUGGAACCAAGGUGAUGAGAAGACAUGGAAUCACAAUAACAUGUUCAUACUGCCAUGAAACAGGCCACAACAUCAAAGGAUGUAAUCAAAGAAAGGCUGGCAUUUUGCCAAAUCUAGCAGAGAGAACAACAAGAAGGGGUCCAAGGGCCAUUCCUAAUGAUGUGUCAGAUGAUGAAAUUGUUUUGGCACAAGAAGAUGAUGGCCAAGAUACACAGGAGGAGGUUCAGGUCACACAAGAGGAUGGUCAACUUACACAGGAGGAGGUCCAUGUUGAUGGACAAGUUACACAUGACGAGGCCCAUGUUGAUGGCCAUGAUACACAUGAGGAGGUCAUUGUCACACAAGAUGAUGAGGUCAUUGUCACACAAGAUGAUGGAGCAGAUACACCAAUUGUUUUUUAGGCAAAUUCUCCACUUUUGUCCCUUAAUUUUGACCUCUUUUGUCUAGUCAUUUUUGUUGUACUGAUGUUAUCAUGUGAUGUUUGUUUUGUACAGGUGCAGGACUUUGGAUUUACAAUGCUUCAUAGGAUGCAACAAUCCAGACCUGUUCCUAGAGAAGAAACUGAAACCAUUUUGCCAGAUUCUUCAUUCAUCUCAAAUGCAGCUAGUUCUCACACUAUAGCACAGACAACAACAGCUACAAAUGAAGGCAACCUGACCAUGAAGUUGCUGAAGAUGAAGAGAGACAAAGAAAGACAGAUGGCAGCCAGGAGAGAUGCAGCACUUGAGGCCAUGAAUGAGAUGGCAGAGAAGAAAGCAGAGGAGGCAGAAGCAAAAAGGCAAGAAAUUGCCUGCUCAUUGCCUGCUCCUUCUCAGCCACCAUCUUAGCAAAAUCAAGCUUGAAAUGCCUCAACUCAUUCUCCAUCUUCUUCUUCUCUUCAAGAACCUUCAAGUUUUCUUUAGCACUCACAACAUUCUGUCUGAGCCUCUGUUUUUCUCCUCUUCAUACAUGGUCCAUAUACUAGCUAGGCUCAUCUUCAGAGCAUCAGGCCACUCAGGGUCAACCCACUCAACAUAUCUACAUUUAGGUACCUCCUAACAAUUUAGAACAUACAAAAAAGAGAUUCAGUUAAUUGCCAGUAUUCAGUACUGUGCAUGAUGACGGAACUUAAAACAUACUACAAAUCACUUCCUGUUUAACAGUGCCAAAUGCAAAAAAUUACUAACCUUCUGUGCACAAGCUAGAAACCUUCUGCUAGUAUCAACAGAUUCAAAUGCCACAUGCUUCUCACACAAAGAUCCAUGCCCACAUCUAAAGCUAGGCAGAUCUGUAGCCAAGUCACUCCAUUCCUCACAGGAUAUUGUGGCAGGUGGCUAAACAAAAGAGAGACAUUUGGAAUCAAUUGAGAGAGAAACCCUAGCUGAGAAACCUUAGACUGGAUUUGUGUGAGAUUAAGGAGCACACUAACCUUGCUGGUCAUAGAGUCAUCUUCAGAAGAACUGGGAAGAUCAUCCCAGGACACCAUGGUUGCUGCUAGCUGAAGAUGGGAAGGGGGUCUUGUCGGGAAUAUACCCCACAACGUAAACCAGCCGAAAGUAUAACCCAGCCGGACUUGGCAGUUUAUUUGAGAUCCCGCUGACACUUGGCGAUUUACUGGCGACCCGCCCUGACCUGGCGGUUUACAAGCAACCUGACUAGACAUUAUAACUCACUGGUGACCCGGCGGGUGUGACAGACGGGUGACAAGGCCCAAUACCCAGAGGGCCGGUUUAUAUUAAUGGUGGGUCGGUUUAAGAGGAAAGACGUGAAUAAUAUUACCUUACAGGGAGUUAAAGACCCGGACUUGUAUCCGGUUUGUAUUAGAAGGUAGACUAGUCCUAAUCCUAAUAGGACUCCACAUGUAACCCGCCCCUUCAACAUAUAUAAGGAGGGGCAGGGCUCCCCAAAGAGGGACAAGUAAGAAGCAAUAAUCUCUAGGGCUAGACACAACUAGAGGAGAGCCGUCUUACCGGCGACUCUCUCAUAAGCAUAAUGAGAUCUAGCCACAAACAACAUGUAGGGCUAUUACCGGAUGAUGUUUCCCGGGGCCCGAAGCUGUCUAAAUCUUUGUCUUAUGUGUUGAUCCGCCUCGCGUCUCUCGAUUCGGACCAACCCCUUCAAGCUACCGCAUAGAUGCGUUGGCUUCACGACUAAGUCCUCAUACUAGGACAUCUGCCGUGACAAUUCCACGACAGUUGACGCCCACCAUGGGGCCUGCGCACGGUGGUGUUGAGUUCUUGAAGGGAUCUAUUCCUAGGGUUUUGAGAAGUUUUGCGAAUUAGCCAUAUGAAGAAGAACCGGCACGGAAGAAUCACGCAAGAUGAUCCGGCAUGGGACAUUUUUUGGCAGAGUCGGCGUGUUCAUUGUUUAUGAUCAAAGUUGUGAUUAAUUCUACAUGGCCAGGACAAAAGCUAAGGGCUGUGUACGGCCGCCGGAGGCGCCGUAAUAAUCCACUAGCCAGAUCGUUUUCAUGGAUCGCCGCAAGUUGCCAAUCUGAGACGGUGAAGAAAAUCCCGCUGCAGUAGUCCGAAUACUAUUCUGUAGACCAAAGGAUAUAUAUUUGAUUAAAUACCAAGGCAGUGUUCCGGUUUGACCUACGCGUUGACAUACGCGUGUGUUGUUGCCGCUAAUUAUACUACUCCCAAACCAUAGCUGCUGGUACUACUCCAUGUCAUUGUACAAAAUAAGAAAGAAAGAGCAUGGCCGGAGGGACAGGCGCACACGUCGCUGAUUGCACGUGCGUAUGCUGUAGUUGCAGCAAGAAAAAAAAUUGCGACGGCCGCCGAUGGAUCAUGUGUGUGCACGGCUGCUGCAUCGAUUGAGAGGAUGUUCAAGUGGAUCUAGAAAAAGGAAAUCAAGCCGGCCAUGUACGGAUUGCACUACUAGUACAAUACAAAAUCAUACUGGUGUGCCAUCACAAAAGCCUAAGUGAUUUGCACUGUUGUCGUACUCUUCGAGGACCCGAAGACCAGAUCAGAAAAAAUAUGUAUAUACAAAACUCAGGGGCCAAGGCCGCUACUAAAGCUGUGCGUGCAGACUUUCCGUAGCCUGACUGCUGUCCCGUGUCUCCAUGGCAGUUGCUCUCCAAAGGCUUACUACUAGUGCUAACUAAAAGGUACAAUGGUGCAAUCUCCAAGAAGGACCAUCAUCCAUCACGUGAAGGACUGCUGGAGAAAGGCUCGCACGAGGAUGAUCAAAUUGACUAUGACCUGGAAAACAGACUAGCAGGCAGUCUUGGCUGUUCGCCACCGAGUCGCCGUGAUGACUACAGCCCGGAAAGCAGACUACAGUUGCCUGCCUCUUGAGCCGCCGACCGACAAGUCGUCGCCUGUGCCAGGACAGCCCGCCCUCACCGUGAUCUGCCACGGAUUGCUCCUACUACUGCCAUAGCCCGCCAAGCGCAUCGCACGUUGAGCGGUGUCGGCCUCACUUUGUAUUGAGCCCUUCUACUGCUACUACGCUUCGCCAGCACACAUCAACCCGCCGUUGUGGUGUGAGCCGCCUCUGCCAUGACCUGUAUCACCUCUUUGAGUCGCCGGGACCCUGCGACCCGUAUCGCCGAGACUGAAGAAGUUUCGUGAGCCAUCCCGCGUUAAACCGUCACAUGUUGAACCGCCGCCUGCCCUUGGUACGUCUCCAAUGUAUCUACUUUUCCAAACAUUUUUGCCCUUUUUUUAGACUCUAACUUGCAUGAUUUGAAUGGAACUAACCCGGACUGACGCUGUUUUUAGUAGAAUUACCAUGGUGUUAUUUAUGUGCAGGAUCAAACGUUCUCGGAAUGACCUGAAAUUUCAUGGAGACACUUUUCAGAAAAUAAGAAAAAUACCUGUCAAAGAUGAAGGCCAGGGGGCCCACCACCUUGCCAUGAGGGUGGGGGCGCGCCUGCCCCCUAGGGCGCGCCCCCUACCUCGUGGGCCCCCCUGUUGCGUCUCCGACUCCAACUCCACCUCCAUUUAUUGAGUUUCAAGAGAAAAACAUCAGAGACAAGAAAUCAUCGCGUUUUACGAUACGGAGCUGCCGCCAAGCCCUCAAACCUCUCGGGAGGGCUGAUUUGGAGUCCGUUUGGGGCUCCGGAGAGGGGAAUCCGUCGCCAUCGUCAUCAUAAACAUCCUCCAUCACCAAUUUCAUGAUGCUCAUCACCGUGUGUGAGUAAUUCCAUCGUUGGCUUGCUGGACGAUGAUGGGUUGGAUGGGAUGUAUCAUGUAAUCGAGUUCGUUUUUUAGGGUUUGAUCCCUAGUGUCCACUAUGUUUUGAGAUUGAUGUUGCUAUGACUUUGCGAUGCUUAAUGCUUGUCACUAGGGCCCGAGUGCCAUGAUUUCAGAUCUGAACCUAUUAUGUUUUCAUCAAUAUAUGAGUGUUCUUGAUCCUAUCUUGCAAGUCUAUAGUCACCUAUUAUGUGUUAUGAUCUGUUAACCCCGAAGUGACAAUAAUCGGGAUACUUACCGGUGAUGACCGUAGUUUGAGGAGUUCAUGUAUUCACUAUGUGUUAAUGCUUUGUUCCGGUUCUCCAUUAAAAGGAGGCCUUAAUAUCCCUUAGUUUCCGUAAGGACCCCGCUGCCACAGGAGGGUAGGACAAAAGAUGUCAUGCAAGUUCUUUUCCAUAAGCACGUCUGACUAUAUUCGGAAUACAUGCCUACAUUAUAUCAAUGAACUGGAGCUAGUUCUGUGUCACCCUUGGUUAUGACUGUUACAUGAUGAACCGCAUCCGGCAUAAUUCUCCAUCGCCGAUCCAUUGCCUACGAGCUUUCCAUAUAUUGUUCUUCGCUUAUUUACUUUCCCGUUGCUAUUGCUAUCAUCACUACAAAAUACCAAAAACAUUGCUUUUACUACUGUUGCCUUUUGCUACCAUUAUCACUACUAUCAUAUUACUUUGCUACUAAACACUUUGCUGCAGAUAUUAAGUUUCCAGGUGUGGUUGAAUUGACAACACAACUACUAAUACUUGAGAAUAUUCUUUGGCCCCCCUUGUGUCGAAUCAAUAAAUUUAGGUUGAAUACUCUACCCUCGAAAACUGUUGCAAUCCCCUAUACUUGUGGGUUAUCAAGACCAUUUUAUGGCUCCGUUGCCGGGGAGCAUAGCUCUAUUCUUUGAGUCACUUGAGAUAUAUAUAUGAUUAUCAUUAUGAAGAAUUUGAGAGAUCCAAAAAACCAAGAUCGAUCCCUCAACUACGAGGGGAGGUAAGGAACUGCCAUCUAGCUCUGCACUUGAUUCACCUUCUGUUUUGAGUAAGCUUGCGACACCUACACCUGUUUCUGCUAUUCAUUCUGAUAUGUCGCAUAUUAUUGAUGAUGCCACUUCUGCUAUGCAUGAUACUUAUGAUGAAACUACCUCUAUGCCUGAUACUACUAUGCCACUUAGUGCUUUUCUUGAUGAACAACUUGCUAGGGCUAGAGAAAUUGAAAAUAUUGAAUCUGAUGAUACCGAUGAAAGUGAUGAUGAAGAACCACUUGCUAUUCCUAAGGGUUAUGUAUUUGAUCAAGAUGCUUCUUUAGCUAUUUUAGCUUGCAGAAAUAGAACUGAACUUAAAAAAUUAUUAGCUAAAUGGAGUAAGCAAUCCCUAAAUGAUAGAAUGAAACCUGACCCUGCUUUGGCUACUUCACCUAUCUUUGUUACUGAUAAGGAUUAUGAAUUCUCUGUUGAUCCUGAUAUAAUUACUUUGGCUGAAUCUGAUCCUUUUCACGUUAUAAAUCUGAAACUGUUGUGGCACAUCUUACUAAACUGAAUGAUAUAGCUACCCUGUUCACUAAAGAUGAGAGAACUCGCUACUUUUAUAUCCUUAAAAUAUUUCCGUUCUCAUUAAAGGGUGAUGCUAAGAUAUGGCUUAAUUCUCUUGAUCCUGGUUGUGUGCGUAGUCCCCGGGAUAUGAUUUAUUACUUCUCUGCUAAAUAUUUCCCUGCUCAUAAGAAACAAGCUGCUUUAAGGGAUAUAUAUAAUUUUGUGCAAAUUGAAGAAGAGAGUCUCCCACAAGCUUGGGGGAGGCUUCUCCAAUUACUUAAUGCUUUGCCUGAUCAUCCUCUUAAGAAAAAUGAAAUACUUUAUAUCUUUUAUAAUGGAGUAACCGAUGCCUCCAGAGAUUACCUGGAUAGUUGUGCUGGUUCUGUUUUUAGGGAAAGAACACCGGAUGAAGCUGAAAUUCUAUUGAAUAAUAUGUUGACAAAUGAAAAUAAUUGGACACCUCCGGAGCCAAUUUCUAAGCCUAUUCCUAAACCAACUCUGAAGAAGAGGGGUAUUCUAUUUCUCAGUCCUGAAGAUAUGCAAGAGGCAAAGAAGUCUAUGAAAGAAAAAGGUAUUAAAGCUAAAGAUGUUAAGAAUUUACCUCCUAUUGAAGAAAUACAUGGUCUUAAUUUACCGCCUGUUGAAGAAACAUAUAAUCCAAAUCCUUUACCUAUUGAAGAAACUCAUGGUCUUGAUAACCCGACAUAGGUAGUAAAGGUAAAUUCUCUCUAUAGAUAUGAUAAAGCUAUAAUCCCAUUUACUAAGUUUGCUAGCCCAUGCUUAGAUGAGUUUGAUAAAUUUAUGGCUAAGCAAGAAGAUUUUAAUGCUUAUUUUGGUAGACAACUGAAAUACAAUUCAAAUAUGCUUGGACACUUGGGUGAUUAUAUGGCUAAUGUUAAAACUGAACUUAAACUUAUUAGUAAACAUGCUUCUAUGGUUACCACUCAAGUAGAACAAGUACUUAAAUCUCAAAAUGAUUUGCUCAAUGAAUUGAACAGUAAGAAUAUGAUAAUUCUGUCAGAGUGGCUACUAGAACUGGUAGAAUGACUCGGGAACCUUUGUAUCCUGAAGGCCACCCUAAGAGAAUUGAGCAAUAUUCUCAGAGAAAUAAUAUAGAUGCACCUAGUUCUUCUAAAAAGAAGAAAAAGAAAAAUGAUAGGACUUUGCAUGCUUCUAGUGAUCCUAUUGUUGAAACACCUGAGAAUCCAAAUGAUAUUUCUAUUUAUGAUGCUGAAACACAAUAUGGUAAUGAACCUGAAACUAGUAAUAAUGUUAAUGAUAAUGUUCAUGAUGAUGCUCAACCUAGUAAUGAUAAUGACAUAGAAAUUGAACCCGCUAUUGAUCUUGAUAACCCACAAUCAAAGAAUCAACAUUAUGAUAAGAAAGACUUUGUUGCUAGGAAACAUGGUAAAGAAAGUGAGCCUUGGGUUCAGAAACCAAUGCCUUUUCCUCCCAAACCAUCCAAGACAAAGGAUGAUGAGGAUUUUGAGCGCUUUGCUGAAAUGAUUAGACCUAUCUUUUUGCCUAUGCGAUUAACUGAUAUGCUUAAAACCAAUCCUUAUGCUAAGUACAUGAAAGAUAUUAUUACAAAUAAAAGAAAGAUACCGGAAGAUGAAAUUUCCACCAUGCUUGCUAAUUACACUCUUAAGGGUGGAAUACCAAAGAAACUUGGAGAUCCAGGAGUACCCACUAUACCAUGCUCUAUUAAAAGAAACUAUGUUAAAACUGCUUUAUGUGAUCUUGGAGCCGGUGUUAGUGUUAUGCAUCUCUCUUUAUAUCGUAGACUUGAUUUGAGUAAGUUGACACCUACUGAAAUAUCUUUGCAAAUGGCUGAUAAAUCAACUGCUAUACCUGUCGGUAUUUGUGAGGAUGUGCCUGUUGUAGUUGCAAAUGUUACUAUUCUAACGGACUUUGUUAUUCUUGAUAUUCCCGAGGACGAUAGUAUGUCUAUUAUUCUUGGAAGACCCUUUUUGAAUACUGUAGGGCUGUUAUUGAUUGCACUAAAGGCAAUGUCACUUUUCAUGUUAAUGGUAAUGAGCAUACGGUACACUUUCCGAGGAAAGAACCUCAAGUUCAUAGUAUCAACUCUAUUGGAAAAAUUCCAUCGAUUAUAUUUGGAGGUUUUGAAUUUUCUCUUCCUACUGUCAAGAAGAAAUAUGAUAUUCUUAUUAUUGGGGAGGUGCAUAUCCCCAUUGAGGUAACAUAGUAUUAUUCGAAAUUUCUCCGGUUCCAUGUUAUUCGGAAUGAGUUCGUUAAUAAGAGUGGAUCAACCUUGUUAGUGGAUUCCUUUUGAUGAUCAUGAGAUGGAUGAAACUAGAAGGCACAACCUUCUGUACCCCACUUUUACUUUCUGUUAUUUAUAUUAAAUAAAAUAAAAAUAAAUAUUUGUCUGUCUGUUAUCUGAUUAUCCGUGCAAUAUAAAAAUACCUCGAAAAUAAAAGUUCUCCAAAUGCCCUAAAAAUUAAAUAUGAUUUUUUCUAGAAUAUUUGAGGAUUUAUGGAACUGAUUACACACCAGGGGGGUCAACCACCAUGCCACGAGGAUGGAGGGCGCGCCCCCUGCCUCGUGGGCCCACGGUGGCCCUCCUCCACUUAUUCCUGCACCCACACACUUCAUCUUCCUCCCGCAAACACGAAUAACCAGCUCAAGCACGAGUUCUAGCUAAUCUUGCUGCCAUUUUCGAUCUCCUUGCUCAAAGCACCUCUUACAAAACUGCUUGGGGAGAUUGUUCCUUGGUAUGUGACUCCUCCAUUGGUCCAAUUAGUUUUUGUUCUAGUGCUUUAUUCAUUGCAAAUUUUUGCUGCUUAGGUGACCCUGUUCUUGAGCUUGUAUGUCAAAUUUAUAUGGUCAAAAGUAGUUUUGAUGCAUGAUAUAGGCCCUAGGCACUUGUAGGAGUAGUUACUAUCAAUUAUAUUGAGUUUGGUUUAUGUUUAUUUUGAAGUUACUAAAAAUUUCAGAAUUUUGCAGAAAAUGAUGAGGAGACUUUUGAGGGGCUCAUCGAGCCAAAGCUCGAAGGAAAAGGCACCAAAGCCUAAGUAUAAUCUGCCUCGCACCGCGGAGGUUCGGGCGUGUGAAUGGCCUUCCGAGGAUUUCUUGAGAGCAACUGAGAUUUAUGAAGAUUUUCAUGAAUUGGCUCAGACUGCAGGCCUUACCGCUUUCCUCCACGACCAAUGCGAUUAGUAUCUCUUGCUCACAAAUACCUUUGUGCAAAACUUUCAUUCUCAUUCUAGGAACUCACCACCUACGGUGGCAUUUCAUUGAUAUGAUGAGCAUAAGGAGAUGUCACUUUAUGAUUUUUGUCGGAUCUGUUUAGUCCCUUUUGGGGGCAAGACAGAAGAACCACAUUGUGAUGAUGUGGAGGGAUUUAUUGACACUAUCACUGUAGGGGAAACAAGGAAGGUUUCCGGUGCCUGAAUCACUAGCAUACAUUUUCCUAUUUUGCGCUACUUUGCAUUAUUUGCUAGUCGUUGCUUAAUUGGUCGCGGAAACUGUGGAAACUUGAGUAUCCCUGAUAUUAUUAUUUUGCACCACGGUUUAUACAGUGAUAACUCUUUUAGUAUGGGCAGCAUUAUUGCCAAACGGUUAAGUUUGAACCGUACCAAGGGCCCCAUCUUUGGAGGCAUCUAUGCUACACGCCUAGCUGCACAUUUUAACAUACCUAUUAGGCAUGCUGGGAAGGAAGAAAAAGUGUUGCCCCGUGUUUGUCUAGAUUAUAAAAGUAUGGUAGCACAUGAUUUUAUUGUUAAGAAUAGGGAAUGAGAGCUUAAAUAUCAAUUGUUCUUUAAUAAACAUCAUCCUAAGACUAUUACCUUGCCUGCUCCUUCUUUGUUUGAUUUGACUGCUGGCACGUACCUUGUUCCGUUGACGGCUAUCCACGCCUACCGGAACCCUGCACCAGCCGAGGAGCUAGAGCCGGAACCACAACUUGAUCCUUCACGACAGUUUAAUUACCAGUGGGAUCCGGAGAUGAUUGUCAGCCAGUGGCAAUCUGAGCCUUCUUCUUCCUCAUCAUAGUACGACCCCAACAACUAAUAUUAUGGAUAUCCGCCAGGCCAGCCGUGGCCAUAGACCAACUUAGGCCAAAAGCCUAAGCUUGGGGGAGUACGUAUUUCUCACCGACAUUACAUUUAUGCUCACACACUCAUUGCUGAAUGUCGGUGCUCAUACUUUUUCAUUGUAUCAUCCAUGCUAGUUUAUUUUCCUUUUUUAUGCUUUCUUCUUGUGUGUUUAAUAAACCUUAAAAAACCCAAAAAAUUAGUUGUAGCUUUUAAUUAGUUUACUUUCCAUGCUUGUAGUAGUAAUUAAAAAGGAAACCAAAAAAGAUUUCCUGUUCUUCUUUUGCUUGUUGGGUGCUUUCCCGUGUAAAUAGUUUUAUUUCUUUUCUUUUCUUUGGGGGUCGAUAGGAGAAGACCAUAAUUAAAUUGUUGAGGUGGCUCUUAUAUGCAUUAUUGUUGAUCUGACAAAAGAGCCCAUAUUGCCUUGUCUUCUCCUGUUUAUUGAAUGCCUGCAGAUUCCAACUUAGUCCAAUGCACGUGCACUAUUAUUAUUAUUCACAUCGUUCGGUCGUGCAAGUGAAGGGCAAUUAUGAUGAUAUAUGAUGGACUGGCUGAGAUGAGAAAAGCUGGUAUGAACUCGACCUCUUUUGUUUUUGUAAAUAUGAUUAGUUUAUCGUUCCUGAUUCAUCCUAUUAUGAAUGAACAUGUCUGCAAUGACAACUACAGAUCAUAGUUUCUUGUGCCAUGGUUGAUUAGCUAUGAGUUAUAAUGGUUUACCUUGCGUGCCAACAUGCUAUUGAGAUGGUUAUGAUGUGGUAUGAUAGGGUGGUAUCCUCCUCUGAAUGAUUUAAUUGACUUGACUUGGCACAUGUUCACGCAUGUAGUUGAAACAAAAUCAACAUAGCCUUCACGAUAUUUAUGUUCAUGGUGGAUUAUAUCCUACUCAUGCUUGCAUUCAGUGUUGAUUAAUUUUAAUGCAUGUUCAUGACUGUUGUCGCUCUCUAGCUGGCCGCUUCCCAGUCUUUUGCUAGCCUUCACCUGUACUAAGCGGGAAUACUGCUUGUGCAUCCAAACUCCUUAAACCCCAAAGUUAUUCCACAUGAGUCCACUAUACCUACCUAUAUACGGUAUCUACCUGUCGUUCCAAGUAAAUUUGUAUGUGCCAAACUCUAAACCUUCAAAUAAAUAUCAUGUUUUGUAUGCUCGAAUAGCUCAUGUAUCAACUAUGGUUGUCUGUAUCUUCCAUGUUAGGUGGGUUAUUCUCAAGAGGAGUGGACUCCGCUCCUCAUUCACGAGAUAAAUGUGUAACACCCACGAUGCGGCUAUAUCUCCCACGUGUUGGAGCACGACUUAGAGGCAUAACCGCAUUGUAGGUAUGUCGCAAGAGGGGUAAUCUUUACACAUCCCAUGUACUGAAUAAGAAAGAGGUACAGAGUUGGCUUACAAUCGCCACUUCACACAAUCCAUAAAUAUAGCAUUACAACAUCCAGAAUACAAUCAAGGUCCGACUACGGAAUCAAAAUAAAAGAAGACUACCCCUAAUGCAAAAGAUCCCCGAUCGCCCCGACUGGGCUCCACUACUGAUCAACUGGAAACACAACAACACAACGAACACGAUCUUCAUCGAGCUCCUCCUUGAGCUCGGUUGCGUCACCUGCAUGGUUUCAUCGGCACCUGCAAACUGGUUUUGGAAGUAAUCUGUGAGUCACGGGGACUCAGCAAUCUCACACCCUCGCGAUCAAGACUAUUUAAGCUUAUGGGUAGGAAAAGGUAUGAGGUGGAGCUGCAGCAAGCACUAGCAUAUAUGGUGGCUAACUUACGCAAAUGAGAGCGAGAAGAGAAGGCAAAGCACGGUCGUGAACUAGAAGUGAUCAAGAAGUGAUCCUGAAACUACUUACGUUCAAGCAUAACUCCAACACCGUGUUCACUUCCCGGACCCCGCCGAGAAGAGACCAUCACGGCUACAAACGCAGCUGCAUUUUAAUUAAGUUAAGUGUCGAGUUCUCUACAACCGGACAUUUAACAAAUUCCCAUCUGCCCAUAACCGCGGGCACGGCUUUCGAAAGUUCAGAACCCUGCAGGGGUGUCCCAACUUAGCCCAUCACAAGCUCUCACGGUCAACGAAGGAUAUUCCUUCUCCCAGGAAGACCCGAUCAGACUCGGAGUCCCGGUUACAAGACAUUUCGACAAUGGUAAAACAAGACCAGCAAGACCACCCACUGUGCCGACAAAUCUCGAUAGGAGCUGCACAUAUCUCGUUCUCAGGGCACACCGGAUAAGCUAAACAUACAUGAGCCAACGUAACCCAAGUUGCCAAGGGACAUCCCUGCACGGUGCUCUAGUUUGGACCAACACUCAGAGGAGCACUGGCCCGGGCGUUUAAAAUAAAGAUGACCCUUGAGUCUGUAGAACCCAAGGGAAAAAGGCUUAGGUGGCAAAUGGUAAAACCAAGGUCGGGCCUUGCUGGAGGAGUUUUAUUCAAGACGAACUAUCAAGGGGUUCCCAUUAUAAUCCAACCGUGUAAGGAACGCAAAAUCAGGGAACACAACAUCGGUAUGACGGAAACUAGGGCGCCAAGAGUGGAACAAAACACCAGGCAUAAGGCCGAGCCUUCCACCCUUUACCAAGUAUAUAGAUGCAUUAAUUAAAUAAGAGGUAUUGUGAUAUCCCAACAAAACCAUGUUCCAACAUGGAACAAACUCCAACUUCACCUGCAACUAGCAACGCUAUAAGAGGGGCUAAGCAAAGCGGUAACAUAGCCAAACAACGGUUUGCUAGGACAAGGUGGGUUAGAGGCUUGACAUGGAAAUAUGUGAGGCAUGAUAUAGCAAGUGGUAGAUAUCGCGACAUAGGCAUAGCAAGAGAGCGAGCAACUAGCAAGAAAAGAUAGAAGUGAUUUCGAGGGUAUGGUCAUCUUGCCUGAGAUCCCGCAAGGAAGAAGAACGAGUCCAUGAAGGAGACAAACGGGCGUAGUCGAACGGAUCCUCACAACUCCGGAACAAAACCGAAGCUAACGCGAGAAGUAACACGGAAAGAAGUAAACAACAUAGUAAACAACCAUCACAUAAUCAUGGCAUGAUGCACAACCAAAUAUGAUGCAUGUCCGGUUUAAAGAGGCAUGGCAUUGGCAAAAUGCACAAACAAUCCUACAAAUUAAGUGGAGCUCCAUAUGUAAUGAGUUGCAUAUUGAUGGAACACCACGUGGCUUAUUUAGUUCUCUCUCGUUUAUGUACCCAACAAUAUUAAAUGUUGGUUAGCAUGGCAAGGGUGAAGCAAAAUAAAACUACCUAUCUAGGCAAGUUUAAAUGAGGCCGGAACAACAAACAACAAGUCCGGAAACUCCUCAUGUGCAUAUUUUAGGUUUGGUAUUGUUCGGCCCUAAACAUAAUUUUAGAGUUGUUAAACAUGCAAAGUGAUGCCACCAUGUUAAACUAGGCAUUUUUCCACCCCAUUUACAUAUAAAGCUUAUUAGAUUUGGAGCUACGGUUAAUUAGUUAUGAAUUAAAUCAUUUUAACAUGGCAUAGGGGCAAAUUUAAACAAACAACAAUUUAAUCAUUUUAAACAUAGAUGAAAGUUGAUAAUUAUGAAACUAGAUAAAAUUCUAAGCAUUUUUCAUAUAUAAUUUAUUGUAAUCCGAUGCAUGGUUUGUGAGAUGUUAAAUGCAUGAACAUGGAGAGUUUUUCCGUAGAAACUAAUGUCUCUGGAAUAAAAGACAAACUCACAGAUCUGAAAAAAAUAUACACUAGGCUGAAUCUGGCCGGCCCAAAGUGCAUAGGAGCGGGGGCUACUCACAUUGGGCCUACAGGGGCGCGGCAGAUCUGGGCCUCGGCCUGGUUUGGAGGCGCGCUAGGGAGCUGGGCUUGGCGGGGCGCUGGGCCUCGCGCGACGGAGGGGAGCAGCUGGGCCUGGGCGUGGUCAAUGCACGCAGGCGACGCGCGGUCAUUCUCCUCACUCGAAUGAUGAUGACGCAGAGGACAGGGGCGAUGCAGGGGAAGCAGAGGCGCGGAACUUGGGGACGAGCGCUCCAGCGAGGGACUUGGUGAAGGCAGCGGCGAGGAGAAGGACUCCGGCGAGGACAUGUGCGAGCUCGGGCAACAGAUCAACGAGACUUGGGUCUCAGAGCAGCAGGGCGGAAGCCAUCCAUGGCGUCGGGCAGGGAGGCCCACGGGUGGCGAAGACGACGAGUGGACCAGGCGCUGCUGCACUGGCGCGGCGCGCGAGGCUAAGGCCACAUGAAGGAACAGAUCAGGCGCUGUACGAAGCACCAAGGGGCGGCCAUUGCGUGGAGCUCCUGGCUCCUGCGGGGCAGAGAGAAAAACUAAGAGAAAGAGAGAGAUGCAGGGACGAAAAUAAGAGGAAAGGGAGGAGAGGCGAUGAGGCCUGCUGGGAGUGGUUUCCGGGGGUAGCGGGGUCGCGAGGAGGUCGGAGGCGACAAGGGCGUGGACGAAGGAGCUCGGGCUGCAGGAGAGUCUUGUUGGUGUUGCUGUUCGUCGCCGACGGGGAGGCAUGGCUGGCUGCGCGAGAGCUCGAGGUCGGGGUUCGAACGAUGGUUGGUUGGGCUUGCAAAACGGGGAGGUGGAUGGAGGGUGGAUCAACUGGAUGGAUGGAUCGAGGGGAUGGCUGGCUACGAGAUGGAUCUGGGAAGAUCCCGAGGUGGAAGAGGAGUGGGUAGUUGGCUGGUGCCGACGACGGGAGGGAUGGGACAACUCUCCUCGAAUUUAGGGUUGGGUCACUAUUUAUAGCAAAUGGAUUUAGGUUACGGCUACCUCAUCCCUCCGGUCGUAAUCGGGCGGUCACGAAAAAUAUGUUAGGAAGUCUAAUUAACAAAACGGAGAUGUUUUGUAGAUGUUUGGGGAUGAUUCGGACCCAACGGUGACGACUGUCCGGGUCGGGUCCGGGACAACUCUCGGACGCGCGCGCGAGGAGGGCCGCGGGCUGACGAGAGAGCUUAGGCUAGGCCUGGCGAUGGGUAGCGGAUUGUGCAGAUGGUCUCGAUCCUGAGAGAAGAGAAGAGAGAGAGGUCCGGCGACUGUUUUCGGAGACCAAAAACGUCCGACGAAAAGACCGGCUAUGUUGCCGCUAUAGUUAACCGUUGGGGCGUCAGACGGACUCAGAACGCGAUGAAACUUGGCAGGCGACCUACUACUAUAACAACACUGCAUGCCAACUUUCAACCCAAUCCGAGAACAUUUUUCGGCCACUUAUAAAAUACUAUUUUGGACGUGCCGCGGGCGCGUCCAAGUGUGUCUGGGCUCAGAACGGACAACGAAAGGAACUGGGAGACCUGAGCUAAUGCAAGUUUUGAAAACAUGAUGAUGCAAUGCACAUGAUGACAUGGCAAGAUGCAACACUCAAGCGAAAGACACGGCAACAAACAACGAAUAACUAGAAGACAGCUGGUGCAUCGGACUCGGGGCGUCACAACACGCCACCACUACGAGAGGAUCUCGUCCCGAGAUCUAGAAUGGCACCGGAGGGUAGGGCUGGACCAAAAGCUCAUAACUCGUGAGAUUAAUGAGCGCUCGAUAGUUCAGCUCAUUAAGCUCGUAGCUCGCUUCUUAAUGAACAGAGCCAAUCAUUGAUUUUAACUCGUUAAGCUUAAUGACCUUAACGAGCGAGCUAACGAGUUUCACGACUAGCUCGUUAAGCUCGUUAGUAACAACACAACACAUAUUUUCAUUUUACGUGACAAACUUUUAUAGCACCUUAGCCCAUCUAUUCAAUCUAAUCGACCUAUGAGACAACAAACUACUGCAUUUCUUUUUAUAGUCAUCAUAUUUCGUCUUGAAAACCACACCUACACAUUCAUCCUGUAUAUCGUAAAACAUUAUAAUCUGUUAACGAGCGCUCACGAGCUUAACGAGUUUCAAAUGAGCCGAGCCGAGCAGGGUUUUCUGCUCAUUAAUCUUAACGAGCUUAACGAGCCGAGCCUUAACGAGCACGAGCUUAACGAGUACGAGCUUAACGAGCCGAGCUGCUCGUUAGUCCACCCCUACCGGAGGGUAACGGAAGAGGAAGAGAAGAGGUAAAACUAAGUUGCUUCUUUGACAAACGAGUGAAACCAAAGAACCUUGAAAAGUUGAAUAACUUGAAAGGAAUAAUACCACGGAGGUGAUCAAAGUUGAAAAACACUCCGUUAGGAAUGAGGAACAAGGAAGAACAAAUUCGGACAGCACUCCGUUUGAAAAGUGAUAUGAAACUUGAUAAGAUGAAAAGAACUUGAGAAGAGGGCACAACACUUCGGUUAAAAGAAUAAGCACGAAAAGAACACGAUCCUGACAAAACAAGAAGAUGGGUUGAAGAGAGCAACAUCACAAUGCCUCCGGAAGAAAGAAAUAGAAGAUAGAUAAUUGAAAAAAAAAGAAUGGAGAAGAAAAUGCCAUCUUCUACCACAAAGGAGCUUGAAAAGGCAUCCUUAGGAGAAGGGUCGAACGGAGUUGUUGGAAAACCAACAACGAAUUGUGGGCUUAUGAAAAACAUCUCAAAAUUUUGAGGUGACAACCUGCCACUCACGGGAAAAGAUUGAAUUAACAUCAACAAGGAGAUGAGAAGCUUAUUUCACCGGGAGGGUAAAUGAAGAACUUUGGUCAUUUAUGAGCACCAAAAUUCGUGACAAUCCUUAGGGAAAGCUUUAGGUGAAAUAUAACUCAAGAUAACUCCACAUAAGAGAUUGAUGGGUUGCAAGGAUCUCAUGACCAAAUUGAAAAAGAUGGGUUUAAAAUAUCCCAUUCUUUGUGAAUGACGAAUUAUAUAUUACCACCUCAAAAGAUAAGGGAGAACAAAUGCACUUUGGAUUGCAAGAUGAAGAAUGCUUGAGCUCCUCUGAAAAGAAUCUCGAUGAACACUUCGAGAAGGAAUUAAAUCCUUGAUGAACCACCAUGUAGAACCUCCAUGAAGAACUCCGGUAAACAAAAGGAUGAUCAAAUGAAAGGAAUAAGGAGUUGAAAACACAAGGUGAAGCCUUGCGAUGAUUUAGGUGAAUCUCCGUGGUGAUAUAAUUGAGAGAUCUUGGAACUCCGGGAAAAGAAAAGAUGAAACAAAUGAAACCGAGAAUUUUGAUGAACCUCCGGAAUAAGGAAUUAAUCACUUGGAUGAAACAAUAAUAAGAAUUACGGUAUGCGUAUCCUUCACCAAUUUAAAUUGAUUUCAAGUAGUGGAUUUGGCAUACUACUUAUUCUCGUGGAAAGGAUUAAAGAGAGGUAUAGCUUAAGCUUGAGAAGGUCUUCAAUGAUCCACCAGUAGAAUUUGGAAAGCACGAAUGCAUUGAUAUGAUAAACGAAGGAAGAAGAAACUUGGAAGAACCACCAUAAGAAUUGAACAUGAAAAUAGCAAAAGCAAAAAUUCACCGGGAAGAAUUGGAAAAUGAAUGACGAUACUUGAAGGAAUUUAGAUACAAGAGAAUGAAUAGAUCACGAGCUGAUUAGAGGAUAUUUGAGCGAUGCACCGGUAAGAUUAGGAGAACGAUACCUGAAAGCUGGGAAUGAAUAAACCGAAAUGAUGGCCUUCGGAGAAUCAAACUGAAAGACUAUUGAAAUGCUCCGGAUGGGUGAAAAGAAUUCUCACAAUCGAAAAUAAUUAUGAGAGGAUGGCACGAAGCUAGAGCCAUGAAUCAUUGAACGAAUGGAUAAGAUUUGGAGGAAAAACUCUUCUUCGGUCUUCAAAUCCGAGAAUGUCGACGAGAAACACCACCAUGAAUUGUUGAGACACUCCAGAAUAAUGAAGAAUAGAAAGGUUGAAACAACAAUGAAAAGAAUUUGAAAGAUCUUGGAGAAAGGCACUUGACUGAUGAAAAUUCAUUCUUACAUCAUACUUUGAAAGAUUUGAGAAUAGCUCCGAUAAAAUAAGAAGAGUCAGGUAAGAUCCUGGGAAAAGACCUGUGGGUUAGGGCCCACUCAAAAGAAACACCGUUAAACGAUUACUUGAAAGAUAUUGCACCGAUUGAUUUAAAUGGCUUGAAUGAGAUACCAAUCUCGAAAGAGCUUGAACGAAAGCAGAGUGGAAAACACGAAUCUUUGAGAUAUCUUGAACACUCCGGAACAAUAGAAUAGCGAGCGUGGAAUGAUUAUGAGGUGCACCGUUCAUGGGAAAGCAUUUGAAACAAGGAAAAAAAUAUGAUCAACACUAAAAAAUUGCAUUGAAAACACCGGGAAAGAUAAGAGAAGCAAAGAAUGAUAAACUUGAAGCUUCCUUUAUCAUCUUCAUGAGAAUCACCGGAUAAGAACAUGAAGGAAAAGAAUGGAGACACUUCCACCGAUGAAAUGGAUACUUGAUUAAGAAAUUUGAGUCCUUGAAGAAACAAGGGUGGGAGGGAGGGACAACAAAGACAACUUGGGAUGGAUGAAACGAACACCGUUGAGAAAACUGAGAUUGGAUCUUGCGGAUGUUUAAAAUGAACGGAUCCACUUGAAGAGAGACACGCCGGUUGAAAAGGAUUGACAUCACAAUCUCGAUUAUCAUGAAGGAUCAGUAUUCACAUAGAAAUAUGAGAACAUCACUUAGGAAAGGUAUGGAAUCAACAUUUGACUUCGAAGCAACUCGAAUACCACAACUGAAAAUAAGAACAAAGGAUUGGCUUGCAAAAUAAGCUGGAACAAACAUACGAUAGAGAUUUCGUCUGAAGUUUUCGUGGUGGGGCCCACACGGCUCGAUCAUACAACACCAUCAUGUACAAGGCAGUGCACAUGACAUACGAAGCGUCCCCGAGUCAGCAUAGCCAAGGACUCUUUAAGAAACAACAAGACCACUAUAAAACCAACCGUGGAUAGGCGGACCACUAGACGUCAAACCCCAAUUUCAUAUCAUACAUCUAUCAGAAAGAUAUCCUACGAUAUACUUGAAUUCCCACUUAUAAACUCCCGAAACUUUCCGGUUAUGCAAUCAGGUGUUGGGGAUACAGGGGAAGCAUAAUAUCUCACCCAAAACUAACAAAUCCUACAUCCAGCUGUAUCCAUCCUUCAACAGAUAACCAAGAAACCUUCGGAAAUCAUUUACCUCAACCUUCGAAAAGCAUAUGUUAUACGAGUUAUGGCAAUACUCCCGAACUCCCACCCCAGUACUGGGUGGCAUCGAGGUUAUCUCACCAACAACUGCAUAAAAGAGAUUUUCGAUGUCGGCAAAACUCAGGUAUUCCAGAACUGCAACGAUAAAAUUGUGACUACAACACCUCAGAGCUCAACUCCCCGGGACACUGCCACAACCCCUAAAUGUCAGGGGGCACCAAGAACAAUGUUCUCGUCACAAAACCAUCGAAACGAUUCCAAGAUACCCGCGUGAUCCUAAAUUUUUUUUGUGAAAUUUGAGAAGAGAAGAGUCAAAACUCUACGUCAGGAUGCCUCACCAGAGUGACGAAGGGACUGAGGAAUAAAAGAAUCCUACUCUCCGAUAUAUAUAAUCCUAUAAGACUCGAAACAUUUUUAUAGACUCAACAAUGCCAGCGAUUCGAUCUAGCAGGGGGCUCCUAAGUCGGGGUAGGCUCUGAUUACCAACUUGUAACACCCACGAUGCGGCUAUAUCUCCCACGUGUCGGAGCACGACUUAGAGGCAUAACCGCAUUGUAGGCAUGUCGCAAGAGGGGUAAUCUUUACACAUCCCAUGUACUGAAUAAGAAAGAGGUACAGAGUUGGCUUACAAUCGCCACUUCACACAAUCCAUAAAUAUAGCAUUACAACAUCUAGAAUACAAUCAAGGUCCGACUAUGGAACCAAAAUAAAAGAAGACUACCCCUAAUGCAAAAGAUCCCCGAUCGCCCCGACUGGGCUCCACUACUGAUCAACUGGAAACGGAACAACACAACGAACACGAUCUUCAUCGAGCUCCUCCUCGAGCUCGGUUGUGUCACCUGCACAGUUUCAUCGGCACCUGUAAACUGGUUUUGGAAGUAAUCUGUGAGUCACGGGGACUCAGCAAUCUCACACCCUCGCAAUCAAGACUAUUUAAGCUAAUGGGUAGGAAAAGGUAUGAGGUGGAGCUGCAGCAAGCACUAGCAUAUAUGGUGGCUAACUUACGCAAAUGAGAGCGAGAAGAGAAGGCAAAGCACGGUCGUGAACUAGAAGUGAUCCUGAAACUACUUACGUUCAAGCAUAACUCCAACACCGUGUUCACUUCCCGGACCCCGCCGAGAAGAGACCAUCAUGGCUACACACGCGGUUGAUGCAUUUUAAUUAAGUUAAGUGUCGAGUUCUCUAAAACCAGACAUUUAACAAGUUCCCAUCUGCCCAUAACCGCGGGAACGGCUUUUGAAAGUUCAAAACCCUGCAGGGGUGUCCCAACUUAGCCCAUCACAAGCUCUCACGGUCAACGAAGGAUAUUCCUUCUCCCAGGAAGACCCGAUCAUACUCGGAAUCCCAGUUACAAGACAUUUCGACAAUGGUAAAAACAAGACCAGCAAGACCACCCGUUGUGCCGACAAAUCCCGAUAGGAGCUGCACAUAUCUCGUUCUCAGGGCACACCGGAUAAGCUAAGCAUACAUGAGCCAACGUAACCCAAGUUGCCAAGGGACGGCCCUGCACGGUGCUCUAGUUUGGACCAAUACUUAGAGGAGCACUGGCCCAGGGGUUUAAAAUAAAGAUGACCCUUGAGUCUGCAGAACCCAAGGGAAAAAGGCUUAGGUGGCAAAUGGUAAAACCAAGGUCGGGCCUUGCUGGAGGAGUUUGAUUCAAGGCGAACUAUCAAGGGGUUCCCAUUAUAAGCCAACCAUGUAAGGAACACAAAAUCAAGGAACAUAACACCGGUAUGACGGAAACUAGGGCGGCAAGAGUGGAACAAAACACCAGGCAUAAGGCCGAGCCUUCCACCCUUUACCAAGUAUAUAGAUGCAUUAAUUAAAUAAGAUAUAUUGUGAUAUCCCAACAAAACCAUGUUCCAACAUGGAACAAACUCCAACUUCACCUGCAACUAGCAACGCUAUAAGAGGGGCUGAGCAAAGCGGUAACAUAGCCAAACAACGGUAUGCUAGGAGAAGGUGGGUUAGAGGCUUGACAUGGCAAUAUGGGAGGCAUGAUAUAGCAAGUGGUAGGUAUCGCGGCAUAGCAAAAGAGCGAACAACUAGCAAGCAAAGAUAGAAGUGAUUUCGAGGGUAUGGUCAUCGUGCCUGAGAUCCCGCAAGGAAGAAGAACUAGUCCAUAAAGGAGACAAACAGGCGUAGUCGAACGGAUCCUCAGAACUCCAGAACGAAACCGAAGCUAACGCGAGAAGUAACCCGGAAAGAAGUAAACAACAUAGUAAACAACCAUCACAUAAUCAUGGCAUGAUGCAUAACCAAAUAUGAUGCAUGUCCGGUUUAAAGAGGCAUGGCAUGGCAAAAUGCACAAACAAUCCUACAAAUUAAGUGGAGCUCAAUAUGCAACGAGUUGCAUAUUGACGGAACACCACGUGGCUUAUUUAGUUCUCUCUCGUUUAUGUACUCAACAAUAUUAAAUGUUGGUUAGCAUGGCAAGGGUGAAGCAAAAUAAAACUACCUAUCUAGGCAAGUUUGAAUGAGGCCGAAACAACAAACAACAAGUCCGGAAACUCCUCAUGUGCAUAUUUUAGGUUUGGUACUGUUCGUCCCUAAACAUAAUUUUAGAGUUGUUAAACAUGCAAGUGAUGCCACCAUGUUAAACUAGGCAUUUUUCCACCCCAUUUACAUAUAAAGCUUAUUAGAUUUGGAGCUACGGUUAAUUAGUUAUGAAUUAAAUCAUUUUAACAUGGCAUAGGGGCAAAUUUAAACAAACAGCAAUUUAAUCAUUUUAAACAUAGAUGAAAGUUGAAAAUUAUGAAACUAGAUAAAAUUCUAAUCAUUUUUCAUAUAUAAUUUAUUUUAAUCCGAUGCACGGUUUGUGAGAUGUUAAAUGCAUGAACAUGUAGGGUUUUUCUAUAAAAACUGAUGUCUCUGGAAUAAAAGACAAACUCGUAGAUCUGAAAAAAAUAUACACUGGGCCGAAUCUGGCCGGCCCAAAGUGCAUAGGAGCGGGGGCUACUCACAUUGGGCCUACAGGGGCGUGGCAGAUCUGUGCCUCGGCCUGGUUUGGAGGCGCGCUAGGGAGCUGGGCUUGGUGGGGCGCUGGGCCUCGCGCGACGGAGGGGAGCAGCUGGGCCUGGGCGCGGUUAACACACGCAGGCGACGCGCGGUCGUUCUCCUCGCUCGAACGAUGACGACCAGAAGACAAGGGGCGAUGCAGGGGAAGCAAAUGCGCGGAACUUGGGGACGAGCGCUCCAGCGAGGGACUUGACGAAGGUAGCGGCGAGGAGAAGAACUCCGGCGAGGACAUGUGCGAGAUCGGGCUACAGAUCGAUGGGACUUGGGUCUCAGAGCAGCGGCGCGGCAGCCAUCCAUGGCGUUGGGCAGGGAGGCCCACAGGCGGCGAAGACGGCAAGUGGACAAGGCGCUGCUGUGCUAGCACGGUGCGCGAGGCUGAGUCCACAUGAAGGAACAGGUCAGGCACUGUACGAAGCACCAAGGGGUGGCCAUGGCGUGGAGCUCCUGGCUCCUACGGGGCAGAGAGAAAAACUAAGAGAAAGAGAGAGAGAGAUGCAGGGACGAAAAAGAGAGGAAAGGGAGGAGAGGCGAUGAGGCCUGCUGGGAGUGGUUGCCGGGGGCAGCGAGGUCGCGAGGAGGUCGGAGGCGACAAGGGCGUGGACGAAGGAGCUCGGGCUGCAGGAGAGUCUUGUUGGUGUUGCUGUUCGUCGCCGGCGGGGAGGCAUGGCUGGCUGCGCGAGAGCUCGAGGUCUGGGUUCGAACGAUGGUUGGCUGGGUUUGCAAAACGAGGAGGUGGAUGGAGGGUGGAUUGACUGGAUGGAUGGAUCGAGGGGAUGGCUGGCUACGAGAUGGAUCUAGGAAGAUCCCGAGGUGGAAGAGGAGUGGGUAGUUGGCUGGUGGCGGCGACGGGAGGGAUGGGACAACUCUCCUCGAAUUUAGGGUUGGGUCAUUAUUUAUAGUAGAUGGAUUUCGGUUAGGGUUACCUCGUCCCUCCGAUCGUAAUCGAGCGGUCGAGAAAAAUAUGUUAGGAAGUCCAAUUAACAAAACGGAGACGUUUUGUAGAUGUUUCGGGAUGAUCCGGACCCAACGGUGACGACUGUCCGGGUCAGGUCCGGGACAGGUCUCGGACGCGCGCGCGAGGAGGGCCUCGGGCUGACGAGAGAUCUUAGGCUAGGCCUGGCGGUGGGUAGCGGACUGUGCAUAUGGUCUCGAUCCUGAGAGAAGAGAAGAGAGAGAGGUCCGGUGACUGCUUCCGGAGACCGAAAACGUCCGACGAAAAGACCGGCUAUGCUGCCGCUAUAGUUAACUGUUGGGGCGUCAAACGGACUCAGAACGUGAUGAAACUUGGCAGGCGACCUACUACUAUAACAACACCGCAUGCCAACUUUCAACCUAAUCCGAGAACAUUUUUCGGCCACUUAUAAAAUACUAUUUUGGACGUGCCGUAGGCGCGUCCAAGUCUGUCUGGGCUCAGAACGGACAACGGAAGGAACUGGGAGACCCGGGCUAAUGCAAGUUUUGAAGACAUGAUGAUGCAAUGCACAUGAUGACAUGGCAAUAUGCAACACUCAAGCGAAUGACACGGUAACAAACAACGAAUAACUGGAAGACAGCUGGCGCACUGGACUAGGGGCGUCACAAAAUGGCUGGUCACCGGGAUGCCCAGUCCCAUGCUUUAUGCAAACUAAAUCAAAAUAAUUGCAAACAAAACUCCCCCUGGGACUCUUGUUAGUUGGAGGAACUCGUUGUUUCGAGCAAGCCAUGGAUUGAUGCUUGUGGUGGAAGGGGGAGCAUAAACUUUACCAUUCUAUUUAGGAACCGCCUAUAAUGUGUGUAGCAUGGAAGAUAUCGCCAUCUCUUGGUUGUUAUGUUGACAAUGAAAGUCUACCGCUCAAAAUAUUAUUCACCUUUGUUUCAAAACCGAGCUCUGACACCUCUAUAAAUCCCUGCUUCCCUCUAUUAAGGGCCUAUCUAUUUACUUUUAUGCCGAGUCAUCAUCCUCUUAUUAAAAAGAACCAGUUGGAGAGCACCGCUGUCAUUUGCAUUCAUUAUUGUUAGUUUACAUUGAGUAUGACUUGAUUGGAUCUCUUUUACCAUGAAUUACAAUGUCUAGUCAGUCCUUGGUCUUUAAAGGUGCUCUACAUUUAUGUUUUGCUGUCUCAGAAAGGGCUAGCGAAAUACCACCUUGCUAUAUCAUAUUAUGAUUGUUUUGAGAAAGUGUUGUCAUCCGAGUUUUAUUAUUAUGGCUCGCUAGUCGAUUAUGCUAUUGAUAUGAGUAACUUGAGACCUAUGCGUUAUUGCGAAUGUGGUUAGUCAUAAUCUUUGCUGAAAAUUUGAAUGCUGGCUUUACAUAUUUACAACAACAAGAGCAAACAGAGUUUGUAAAAGUUUUUCUUUAUCACUUUCAGUUUGUCAACUGAAAUGCUUGAGGACAAGCAAAGGUUUAAACUUGGGGGAGUUGAUACGUCUCCAAUGUAUCUACUUUUCCAAACACUUUUCCCCUUGUUUUGGACUCUAACUUGCAUGAUUGAAUGGAACUAACAUGGACUGAUGCUGUUUUCAGCAGAAUUACCAUGGUGUUAUUUAUGUGCAGGAUCAAAUGAUCUCGGAAUGGCCUGAAACUUCACGGAGACACUUUUGAUAAAAUAAGAAAAAUACCUGCCAAAGAUGAAGGCCAGGGGGCCCACCACCUUGCCACAAGGGUGGGGGCGUGCCUGCCCCCCUAGGGCGCGCCCCCCUACCUCGUGGGCCCCCUGUUGCGUCUCCGACUCCAAGUCCACCUCCAUAUAUUGAGUUUCAAUGAGAAAAAAAUCAGAGAGAAGAAAUCAUCGCGUUUUACGAUACGGAGCCGCCGCCAAGCCCUAAAACCUCUCGGGAGGGCUGAUUUGGAGUCUGUUCGGGGCUCCGGAGAGGGGAAUACGUCGCCAUCAUCAUCAACCAUCCUCCAUCACCAAUUUCAUGAUGCUCACCGCCAUGCGUGAGUAAUUCCAUCGUAGGCUUGCUGGACGGUGAUGGGUUGGAUGGGAUCUAUCAUGUAAUCGAGUUAGUUUUGUUAGGGUUUGAUCCGUAGUGUCCACUAUGUUCUGAGAUUGAUGUUGCUAUGACUUUGCUAUGCUUAAUGCUUGUCACUAGGGCCCGAAUGCCAUGAUUUCAGAUAUGAACCUAUUAUGUUUUGAUCAAUAUAUGAGUGUUCUUGAUCCUAUCUUGCAAGUCUAUAGUCACCUAUUAUGUGUUAUGAUCCGUUAACCCCGAAGUGACAAUAAUCGGGAUACUUAACGGUGAUGACCGUAGUUUGAGGAGUUCAUGUAUUCACUAUGUGUUAAUGCUUUGUUCCGGUUCUCUAUUAAUAGGAGGCCUUAAUAUCCCUUAGUUUUCGUAAGGACCCUACUGCCACGGGAGGGUAAGACAAAAGAUGUCAUGCAAGUUCUUUUCCAUAAGCACAUAUGACUAUAUUCGGAAUACAUGCCUACAUUAUAUCAAUGAACUGGAGCUAGUUCUAUGUCACCCUAGGUUAUGACUGUUACAUGAUGAACCGCAUCCGGCAUAAUUCUCCAUCACCGAUCCAUUGCCUACGAGCUUUCCAUAUAUUGUUCUUCGCUUAUUUACUUUCCCAUUGCUAUUGCUAUCAUCACUACAAAAUACCAAAAACAUUGCUUUUACUACUGUUACCUUUUGCUACCAUUAUCACUACUAUCAUAUUACUUUGCUACUAAACACUUUGCUGCAGAUAUUAAGUUUCCAGGUCUGGUUGAAUUAACAACUCAGCCACUAAUACAUGAGAAUAUUCUUUGGCUCCCCUUGUGUCGAAUCAAUAAAUUUGGGUUGAAUACUCUACCCUCGAAAACUGUUGCGAUCCCCUGUACUUGUGGGUUAUCAGCCCUCGGGUCGACUCGCGUGCGUUUCAAGCUGUUCAAGUUGCCACCUCCGCCGUGUCAACCACGCUGCCGCUACAGUUUAUGAGCCGCCCCCCUAGUGAUGCCUCCGUUUCGCUGCUAUGUUGAGCCGUCGGGGCCGCGUUGAGCCGCCUCUGCCGUGUUGAGCCGCCCGGACAAUCAGGUGAUAUCUAUCCGUUUAAGUUUAUUUUAUUAGCAUAUAUUUCUUUUUAUCAAAGAAAAAUUACUCUGACUUGCGAUGUUUUUGAUGCAGGACAAUUGUUCACUGCAAACCCGCGGCCUCUGCGGCCCAGUUUACAUCAACGUGACGAGGCCAAGCCACCCGUCCGCGCGGUUUUUACCACGCCUGUGAUCGACUCGCCCAUCCGCACUGGCUUACAACGCCACGGCUGGCUCAUCUGUCUGUGCCACCUCUGAUGCAACGGUCGUCUUUACCAUCCAUCUCUCGCGGUUUGGUCUAUAUCAACACACCGGACCGCACCUGUCUGCAUAAGUUGUUUAUUGAAUAUGAGCGAGUCACUACUUGGGAAGCCCAGUUUUCUUCCAACAAAUUGGAGGCGAAUUAUCAUGUAUUAUUAGCCGCCGUCUGCACUACAUGGCUCAAUGGGCAGGCGCACAAGUCGCCGCCACUACAGUUUGGUUAAACUUCAAACAACCAGUUGGAAGGAACCAUUGGCCAAGUUGCUGACACGUCUCAUACGGGAUCAUUUAUAAACCCGCCGCAGUCACCUCAACCUUCUGUGAAUUCACAUCACGCUAUCAACGCCAAUGCUAUACACCUUCUCUUAUGGUCAAAUAUGGAGAAUCUCAAGCCAACUCCUUGAGUCAUCUUGAGACUCGGGGGCUACAAUGAUAUGACUCGGCAAAAUUAGCCGGUUUCAAUGAAUUCAAGAACUCCGGGUCAUUGAAGGGAAAAAUAACCCGGCCCCGAAGAUUACUGCUAGAUCAAUGAAAAUGUAAAGGCCGUUAGAAGAUUUCCGGCUCAAAAUAAGGAUUCUAGUUCAAAAUCUAGUUCAAGGACAAUCUGUCUCCCACAAAGUUUUGAAGCUUUCAAAUCCGGUUUAAAGUUCCGAUUCAAAAAGAAUUAAUCUCUCGCAAGUUCGAGUUCUCAGAAAAAUUAAAGGUUUCCAAAAAGAACUUGCUGGCAUGAUGCGCGGUUCAAACAUGGGUAUCCUGCCUUACGGCUUAUCUUAUUAUGGUCACUUGGGGGCUUCCUGCUCAUCGAGCAUAGCUGUCGGUACCCUCUUGAUCGGCGCAAUGCCAAAACUUAUAUGAUCACUAGGGGGCUUCCUGUUAAAACAUAGGUCAUAUUCGAACCAAAGAGAACACAGCUGUCGGUACCCUUUUGAUUGGCACACUUCCAAACCCACUAGGGGGCUUCUUGAUCGUAUCCGAAUCAUAGCUCAACCCCUUUGGGUCCGACGUGGAUCGUAUUUGAAUCAACGUCGUUAAACAACUCUCAAGGUCAUUUGGGGGCUUCCUGUUCAAACAUAGGUCGUAUUCGAACCAAAGAGAACAUAGCUAUUGGCACCCUCUUGAUCGGCAACGCCAAAGCCAUUGGGGGCUAUAUGAUCGUAUUCGAAUCUUAGCUUAACCCCUUUGGUCCGGUUUACUGAUCGUAUUCGAAUCAGAAGCCUCAAAUUUUUCUUUCUAUUUGGCUUAAGUUUUUUUUGUUUUUGUCUUAAGGAAUUUUGUCCAGAUCUAAGUAUAAGUAUGGUUUAAAUUUCACCUGGCUUGACUUUGGAUGAUAAGUCGCCAGUAUAUGAAAAUCAUAAACAUUUGGAAGUUUUGGCUUCUAAAGAUUGGGUUAUCACCCUUACUGCACAUGUAUCAUAAGCCAGCGUACGAUUCAAUAUCACAGAUAUGAUAUUGUUUAUACAUGAUUAUGUUUAAGCCGGCCCUGGCUUUUGAUGUUAAAUCGCCAGGGCAUAUGUUGUUUAACCUCUAUGUAGGAUUUGCAAAACUAUGACUUAUAUAAAUGCUUAAGUCCAAGCUCAUCAUUAAAAUUGAUGCUUCAAAAUGAUCAUCUAUUCUAGAUUUUCUCAAAGGCUAUAAGCCACCGGGUUAUAAAAAUUCCGGCUUACAAUGGAGGCGUAUUAAAUCGCCAUCGGUCAAGAGCCACCGGGUAUUUAAAACUCCGGAUUUACUUGUCAACAGAUAAGGUAUUUGAAUCUUUAAAUAGCCAAACUUGGCUGGAUUUUCAUUAUGAUAUUGAAUGAUUGAGGUUUUCAAACCGGGUUAUUCAAAUUUUUAAUAGCCAACAUGGCUGGAUUUUUAUUAUGGUUAUCAGUAACUAAUAUUAUGAUUGAGGUUUUCAAAGUCUAUUUGGUGCAAUGGCUAUUAUUUUAUCAAUGGAUAUGAUUUAUCCUACAAUGAAAUGAAUAGUCCCGAGUCGUUGCACGCUUACGACCCGGCACUUGGGGGCUACAUUAUUCAAAUUGAGAUUACAUCGAAUAUGCAAGUCCCAUGUCACUGCCAGCAUGCACCAUGGUACUUGGGGGCUAAUGCAAAGUCAUUUUUGCUCAACUUAUUGAAGACCCGACUCAUCACAUUUUAAAUGAGCCGGCCCUUGGGGGCUACCAAUUACUCAUGUCAAAAAUUCAAGGUACACAAGCCUUAAUCCAUUAUAUUGAAAGAUCCACUACUCAGUUGGUAGAGUACAAAGCUCUUAACCUUGUGGACAUGGGUUCAAGCCCCAUGGUGGAGAUUACAUCAUAUGAUGUUAUUAUCAAUGAAUCAUAUACAAAGUCCCAGCUCAGUAAUAUCUUACUGAGCCGGCCCUCAGGGGCUACACGUUGCUGCUCAAGUUUACAUGAUCAUAUUUACAAAGUCCCUGAUCAUUAUUACAUAAUCACCUGGCCCUUGGGGGCCACACUGGUUGAAUUUUUAUGAGUCUAAGGCAAUUACAAGUCCCAGGUUGCUGCACGCAUGACAACCCGGCACUUGGGGGCUACAGGUGAUAUGCAUAUAAGGGAGGAAUAACUUCAAAUUCUCAAUUUUGAGCAAAUCAGGUAUUAUAUUAUUAUCAGAGAAAUCUGCAAAGUUUAUGACCCGGCGUCAUCAUAAGAUUAACCCGGCAUCAGCAACAAUCAUGACCCGGAAUUAUCAGUUUUAUAACCCCGCGAUUUUGGAAAUCAUAGAUCGGCAAGUUCUAUAUUUUGAAGACCAAUAUUUUUGUGAAGUCAGAGCAUUGAAGGCCGAGUCAAAUGGAUUCUUUAUUUACAAUAUUUUUUCUACAAGCAAAUUGAUUAUGAAGCUGGUCUACUGACCCGGAUUUUCUAGGAGGAAAUGACAAGGAUUUAAGGAUGAUUAGGUGUCGGCUUACAAAAUAUUUAACCCGGAGCACAACCUGUCAAAUUUGUUCUUGUGUUUGUUUUACAGGAUCAGUUUAACAUGGAUAAAUCCAAAUUAAACUGGGGGCUAAUGUCGGGGAUAUACCCCACGGUGUAAACCGGCCGGAAGUAUAACCCGGUCGGACUUGGCGGUUUAUUUGAGAUCCCGCCGACACUUGGCGAUUCACUGGCGACCCGCCCUGACCUGGCGGUUUACAAGCAACCUGACUGGACAUUAUAACCCACUGGUGACCCGGCGGCGGGACAGACGAAUGACAAGGCCCAAGACCCAGAGGGCCGGUUUAUAUUAAUGGUGGGCCAGUUUAAGAGGAAAGGCGUGAAGAAUAUUACCUUACAAGGAGUUAAAGACCCGGACUUGUAUCCGGUUUGUAUUAGAAGGUAGACUAGUCAUAAUCCUAAUAGGACCCCACAUGUAACCCGCCCCUUCAACAUAUAUAAGGAGGGGUAGGGCUCCCCAAAGAGGGACAAGCAAGAAGCAAUAAUCUCUAGUGCUAGACACAACUAGAGGAGAGCCGGCUUACCGGCGACUCUCUCAUGAGCAUAAUGAGAUCUAGCCACAAACAACAUGUAGGGCUAUUACCGGAUGAUGUUUCCCGGGGCCCGAAGCUGUCUAAAUCCUUGUCUUAUGUGUUGAUCCACCUCGCGUCUCUCAAUUCCGACCAACCCCUUCAAGCUACUGCAUAGAUGCGUUGGCCUCAUGACUAAGUCCUCAUACCGGCGACUCUCUCAUGAGCUUAAUGAGAUCUAGCCACAAACAACAUGUAGGGCUAUUACCGGAUGAUGUUUCCCGGGGCCCGAAGCUGUCUAAAUCCUUGUCUUAUGUGUUGAUCCGCCUCGCGUCUCUCAAUUCCGACCAACCCCUUCAAGCUACUGCAUAGAUGCGUUGGCCUCACGACUAAGUCCUCAUACUAGGACAUCUGCCGUGACAAUUCCACGACAGAUCUGUUGGUGCUAUUGGAUAGAGGAGAGAAGGGAUCUGGUGGUGCAAGAAAUUGAAGAUGAAAGAUGAGGAAGAAGAAGGGGAUCUGGUGGUGGUGGUGGACCAAAGCUACAUGUAGAGUGCAAGUUGCUGGGUGGGUGUUUGCAGCAGGUGCAAGUACAUGCUUGCUUUUGAGUUCAGUUGUGCUGAGAAAGGGGGCCUGGAAUAACUUAGUUCAUUUAGUACAACAAUUAGUUUGCAAAGUUAGUUCAGUUGUGACAGGGUUUCUGUUAGUAAUUUGAAAGCAAUGAGGUUAAGUACAAUCCAGUUAACUUUGCAAACUAAAUUCAGUUAACUAUAAAAAUUUAGUUAAUUUUGCAAACUAAAUUCAGUUAACUAUAAAAAUUCAGUGAACUGCAAACUAAAUUCAGUUAACUAUAAAAAUUCUGUGAACUACAAACUAAAUUAAAUUUGACGGAAUUUGAAUUAGGUAACUUUCUAUCAGAAUUAGUUUAACUACACUUCUAACAUGAAAUACAUCUGUCAAGCAUUUCAAAGCAAGUAGGUCAAGUAGGCUUCACAUUACUGACAUAUUAUCCAAUACAACAAGCAUUACAACUAAGACUUCAUACCGAGCAAACAAAAGCAACCAUUUUAGUAUGCUUAGUUUACACACCUGCACCUACUCAAUUAACAACACUUCACUUCUUCAUAAUUAAGGUGAAACACAUCACAUAAAGCACUAUAACAAAACCAAUCAUCAGCUUUAGCAGCAUCAAAAUCUCUCUGCCUAAUCCUAAAAGCAUAGCAAUUUGCUGCUUGGUAGCAUACUUAUUCUCACUGGAGCUACCAUAAUUAUCUCUUCCAGCCCUACCUCUCCCAGCCAUGACCCUUCCAGCUAUGCCUCUGCCUGCCAUUGAUUCAGUCCUCUGCCUCUCAAGCUCUUCCCUCAUGUCCUCAGCUGCACCAAUUGCAUCUACAGCAGCAUCACCAACCAGACGCCUUGUUUCAACCAGAUGCUGCACAUAUUCAAGCUCCCAGUGCCAGAAAUCACAAGUGACCUGAUUAAUCAGUGGCAAAAUUAGUUAACCAUGUUAACCAACUCCACAAAAUUACAGAUUGAAUGAAUCAAUGGCAACCUAGUUAACCAACUACUGUAUUGCUCUAAACUACUGCAUUAGUUAACCAACUAAUUUUGCAACCUAAAGACCAAUUUAAUCAGUGCUCUGCUUCAUUAUUAUAGUGAGUUGACACGGCAUGAAUCUAUUGAAAUGGCACCUACAUGGUGGUUCACGCACUUGUAGAAGAUCCAUCCAUCGUGCUCAACGGUGCUAGACCGGUAGAACCUCACCUGCUCGCCGCAAUCCGGGCACCCGAUCAGUGGUACAGCAAUGAAGCAGCCACGCAGCGCUGAGCGGAUGGAGCUAGAAGACGACAUGAAGGAGGAUACAGAGGAGACGAAGGAGGGCGUCGGCAAUGGUUUUGGCGGCGGAGGGCGACGAUGUCGACAAUGGCUGCGGCGGCGCGGACGGGAGUUGUCUAGGGUUUAGAGGAGAGGAAGCGGAGAGCGAGAGGGGAUAAGGGAGCGACUAAGUGCGGGAGGGUGCAACCGGGUGCGGUCCGACCAGGUGCGGGGCGUUUAAUGGCCAGGUGUUGGCCCAUUUGCAAAAAAACCCGAACUACUAGUAUUAACCACCCCCACCCCCCGACCAGGUGCUGCAUAGCUGGCAAUGGCUGACUCGGCCAAGUCAGCAAAUACGUAGCUCAAUUCGUAUAUAUGGACCAAAGUGAACCCUCUGCACAAGUACAUGGAAUGUAGUUCGGGUAUUUUGAAGUAGUGGUACUUAAGUGUCAGCCAGCUCAAGUUUUGUGACCUACAGUGAAUUUUUCUCUUAGAGAUAUAUUACGUAUAUUGUUGCAUUGGAUUGGUUGAUGGGAUGGAUUGAUUCAUGGUGUGUAGUCUCACUGAAAAUGAGCUUUGAUCCUGACUUUGGGGAGUUGAUCAGGACUUGUACAACCCAUGGUGCUCAAUAAAAUGAACCAAUUUUUUUAAGUAUCAUGUGCCACUAGUAGAAAAGGGGCUUUCGUUCGGGCAUGGCCAGCCCAUUAGUCCCGGUUCUGCCAUGAACCGGGACCAAUGGAUGCAUUUGUCCCGGUUCGUGAGCCCAGGGGGCCGGUCGGGGCCUCGUGGGCAUUGGUCCCAGUUCGUAUGGACCCAUUUGUCCCUGUUCCAGGCAUGAACCGGGACCAAUGGGCCUCGCUCCCGGCCCACAAACAUAGGUCCCGGUUCUUGGCUCGAACCGGGACAGAAGGCUGGGCUUUAGUCCCGGUUCCAGCCACGAACCAGGACAAAUGAUCUUCCUAUAUAUACCCCAUCGCCGGCGAGCAGAGCACUCCACAGUGCUCUAUUUUUUGCUGGCCGACGAGGAAGGGCAUUUGGGUGCUCUAGCUCACCUCUUAUGCAUGUGAGGUGUUUGAUGAAAUGCCCGAGCCACAUUAGUUAAGCUUUCUCCUCUCGAAGCUCGACCUCGGAGCUCCAUUUUUUCCGAGAUUUGUCUAGGUUUAGCGGUCCGUCACGCCCCGUCCUUGUCUUCACCAUCGUUGAUCGCCCUCGCCGAUCUCGUCGCCGGCACCACCGUGGUGAGCCUCUUGUUCUUAUCUUCUUUCUGAAAGAAAAAAAAUCUUACAUUAGAUAGAUACUUGUCUAAUUUUCUUACUUUUGACACACAUAAUUAUAUGUAAUGCACACAGAUGAACCGGCAAUGGAUGUACAGUGACAGACACACCUCCGAGUACACUAAGGGCGUGCGUAAAUUUCUCGAAGUGGCUGAGGCAAACAAGCAGAAUGGUUUUAUGUGUUGUCCAUGCCCUGAUUGUGGGAAUACGAGGUCUUACUCUGACAAGAAAAUCCUUCACACCCACCUGCUUUAUAAAGGUUUCAUGCCACACUAUAAUGUUUGGACGAUGCAUGAAGAAAUAGGGGUUAUGAUGGAAGACAGCAAAGAAGAAGAGGACGAUGACAACUAUGUGCCCCUGAAUAUAGUGAUGCUGCAAGGGGGAAGCUGAAGAUCAAGAGGAAGAUGAAGAUCAAGAGGAACCAGACGAUGUGCCCGAUGAUGAUCUCCGUCGGGUCAUUGUUGAUGCAAGGGAAAAGUGCGAAAGUGAAAAGGAGAAGCUGAAGUUCGAUCACAUGUUAGAGGAUCACAAAAAAGGGUUGUAUCCCAAUUGCGAAGAUGGCAACACAAAGCUCGGUACCGUACAGGAAUUGUUGCAGUGGAAGGCGGAGAAUGUUGUGCCUGACAAAGGAUUUGAGAAGCUACUGAAAAUAUUGAAGAAGAAGCUUCCAAAGGAUAACGAAUUGCCCGACAGUACAUACGCAACAAACAAGGUCAUAUGCCCUCUAGGAUUGGAGGUGGAGAAGAUACAUGCAUUCCCUAAUGACUACAUCCUCUACCGCGGUGCGUACAAGGAUUUGAAUGCAUGCCCGGUAUGCGGUGCAUUGCGGUAUAAGAUCAGACGAGAUGACCCUGGUGAUGUUGAGGGCGAGCCCCGCAGGAAGAGGGUUCCUACGAAGGUGCUGUGGUAUGCUCCUAUAAUACCACGGUUGAAACGACUAUUCAGAAAGAAAGAGCAUGCCAAGUUUAUGCGAUGGCACAGUGAGGACCGUAAGAAAGACGGGAAGUUGAGAGCACCCGCUGAAAGGUCGCAGUGGAGAAAAAUCGAGAGAAAGUACUGGGCUCAGUUUGCAGGUGACCCAAGGAACGUAUGGUUUGGUUUAAGCAUGGAUGGCAUUAAUCCUUUCGGGGAGCAGAGCAGCAAUCACAACACCUGGCCCAUGACUCUAUGUAUGUAUAACUUUCCUCCUUGGAUGUGCAUGAAGCGAAAGUUCAUUAUGAUGCCAAUUCUCAUCCAAGGCCCUAAGCAACCCGGCAACGGCAUUGAUGUGUACCUAAGGCCAUUAGUUGAAGAACUUUUACAGCUAUGGAAUGGAAACAGCGUACGUGCGUGGGAUGAGCACAAACAGGUGGAAUUUAACCUGCAUGUGUUGCUGUUUGUAACCAUCAAUGAUUGGCCCGCUCUCAGUAACCUUUCAGGACAGACAAACAAGGGAUACCAUGCAUGCACGCACUGUUUAGCUGACACCGAAAGUAUAUACCUGGACAGAUGCAUGAAGAAUGUGUAUCUGAGCCAUCAUUGAUUUCUCCCGACCAACCAUCAAUGUCGAAAGAAAGGCAAGCAUUUCAAAGGCGAGGCAGAUCACCGGAAGAAGCCCGCCAUGCGUACCGGUGAUCACGUACUUCAUAUGGUCUCUGAAUUACACGUAAUAUUUGAAAAGGGUCCCGACGGACUAGCUGUUCUAAAUGACGUUGAGGGACGCGCACCCAUGUGGAAGAAGAAAUCUAUAUUUUGGGACCUACCCUACUGGAAAGAGCUAGAGGUACGCUCUUCAAUCGACGUGAUGCACGUGACGAAGAACCUUUGCGUGAACCUGUUAGGAUUCUUGGGCGUGUAUGGGAAGACAAAAGAUACACCUGAGGCACGGGACGACCUGCAACGUUUGCAUGAAAAAGACGGCAUGCCUCCAAAGCAGUAUGAAGGUCCUGCUAGCUACGCUCUUACCAAAGAAGAGAAGGAAAUCUUUUUUGAAUGCCUACUCAGUAUGAAGGUCCCGACUGGCUUCUCGUCGAAUAUAAAGGGAAUAACAAAUAUUCCAGAAAAAAGUUCCAGAACCUAAAGUCUCAUGACUGCCACGUGAUUAUGACGCAACUGCUUCCGGUUGCAUUAAGGGGGCUUCUACUGGAAAACGUCCGAUUAGCCAUUGUGAAGCUAUGUGCAUUUCUCAAUGCAAUCUCUCAGAAGGUGAUCGAUCCAGAAGUCAUACCAAGGCUAAGGAGUGAUGUGGCGCAAUGUCUUGUCAGUUUGGAGUUGGUGUUCCCACCAUCCUUCUUCAAUAUCAUGACGCACGUCCUAGUUCAUCUAGUCGACGAGAUUGUCAUUUUGGGCCCCGUAUUUCUACACAAUAUGUUCCCCUUUGAGAGGUUCAUGGGAGUCCUAAAGAAAUAUGUCCGUAACCGUGCUAGGCCAGAAGGAAGCAUCUCCAUGGGCCAUCAAACAGAGGAUGUCAUUGGGUUUUGUGUUGACUUCAUUCCUGUACUGAAGAAGAUAGGUCUCCCUAAAUCGCGAUAUUAUGGGAGACUGACUGGAAAAGGCACGCUAGGAGCGAACACAAUAAUAUGCAGAGACGGGCAUUCUUGGUCUCAAGCACACUACACAGUUCUACAGAACUCUACCUUGGUGACCCCGUAUGUCGAUGAACACAAGAACAGUCUGCGCUCCAAACACCCAGAGCAGUGUGACGACUGGAUUACAUGUGAACACAUCAUGACUUUCUGCAGUUGGUUGGAAACACGUCGCAGAGGUGACAAUACUGUUUGUGAUGAGCUGUACUCAUUGUCCAGGGGUCCAUCUUCGACUGUAUUGACUUACAAAGGAUACGAGAUAAAUGGGAAUACAUUUUACAUGAUCACCCAAGAUCAAAAGAGCACCAACCAAAACAGCGGUGUCCGCUUUGAUGCAGCAACCGAGAGGGGAAAGGACACAUAUUAUGGUUACAUAGUGGAUAUAUGGGAACUUGACUACGGACAUGAUUUUAAGGUUCCUUUGUUUAAGUGCAAAUGGGUCAAUCUGUCAGGAGGUGCGGUACAGGUAGACCCACAGUACGGAAUGACAACAGUGGAUCUGAACAAUCUUGGGUACACUGAGGAACCGUUCGUCCUAGCCAAUGAUGUGGCACAGGUUAUCUAUGUGAAGGACAUGUCUACCAAACCGAUAAAAAUAAAAGAUAAGGAAGUGAAUACAUCAUAUGAUGAGCCAAAGCGCCACAUAGUUCUUUCAGGAAAAAGGGACAUCAUGGGAGUGGAGGGCAAGACAGACAUGUCCGAAGAUUAUGAAAAGUUUCAUGAAAUUCCUCCCUUCAAAGUCAAGGCUGACCCAAGCAUCCUGAUAAAUGAUGAAGAUUAUCCAUGGUUACGACGCAAUAAGCAAAGCACACAAGCGAAGAAAAAGUGAAGACUUUCUGUCCACAACUAUUAUGAUGAUACCAUGCCAACUUUCAACCUUUUCCUAGUUCAUUUGAAAUGCAUGUUGUAACACACGAGUUUCCGUACGAAACCCUGAUAUCUCGAAACAGAUUGUCCAUUUUGUUGAAAUGCUUUGAAUGUUUUGUUGAAAUGCUUUGAAUGUUGCAUUUUAUAAACCUCUAGUAUUAUUGAAACUAAAAUUAUAUAGAAAUUAUGCAACUAAAAUUAUAUAGAAUUUUCAUAAAGAACUUUUUUGUUACAAAUUUUAAUAGCAGAAAGAAUUAUCAUAAUAUAAAUUAAAUAAGUAAUUAGAAACAAAAUAAUAUAAAGUUUAAUAAAAUAUAUAAGUAGAAACAAAAUAAAAUAAAAUAAAAUAAACUUUAAUAACAUAAAUAAAAUUUAUGAAACUAAAAUUAUCAAAGUAUUUUCUGUUCAAAACAUUAUAAGCAAUCUCUAGUAUUAUUGAAACUAAAAUUACAUAUAAAAUUGAUGCAACUAAAAUUAUCAAAGUAUUUUCUGUUCAAAAUCAUUAAAAGCAAAAGGAAUUUUCAUAAAGAACUUUUUUUGUUAGAAACUUUAAUAGCAAAAUAAAAUAAAAUAAGUUUUUUGUUGUAAGUAGAAACAAAACAAAAUAAAUAAAGCAAAAAAGAAAACAAAAAAAUUGGGAAAAAAUAAAAAAUAUGCCACCUACUGGGCCUCCACGGCCUGAAUACGACUAGAAACCCAUCCAUGGGCCAGGAUUCAGGCCCGCAGAAGGCCCAGUAGGCCCAUCGGGCAUACCAAUGACAAUUAGGCCCGAAAGCCUACAAUGAAGAGGAGCUCGAGAGGGGUGCGGCAGUGGGGCUUAUAAACCACUAUGCGCCCCUCUCAACUAGCGAGGUGGGACUAAACAUUUGGGCACGGGAAGAACGAGACCUUUGGUCUCGGUUAGUGCCACCAACCGGGACUAAAGGGGUGCAUUGGAACCGGUUCGUGGCACCAACCGGUACGAAUGCCCCCCUUUGGUACCGGUUGGUGCCACGAACCGGGACCAAAGGUAGCCGCUUCCCGCCUUUUGGCUGCCGAAAACUGAACUUUGGUCCCGGCUGGUGACACCAACCGGGACUAAAGGGGGCAUUGGUCCCGGUUUGUGCCAUGAAUCGGGACCAAUGCCUAGUCUAUACAAGCAGGACUUGUAAAUUUUUCAUUCAGUUGCUCAUUCCCCCGCCGCGACGCCGCCAGGCUGCCCCCCUGUCUCGUCGUCGCCAUCGUCGCCCCUGCCUUCGACGCGCCGCCCCGACGCCGUGCCGCCCCGGACCCAUGCCGUCGUCGCCCCGCGCCACCCCUGCCCCGACACCGCCGGCCCUGCCUCCUCGUCGCCGUCGCCACGCACCCUGUGAGCGCUGCCCGCCGAUCCCCUCCUCCUCCCUGUAAUGGCCGCCGCCGCCGCUGUGCCCCCUAUAUAUAGAUGUGGUAAUUUAGUUGUAUUAAUUUGGAUGUGUAGUUUAGAUGUGUAGUUAAUUUAGUUGUUGUAAUUUAGUUGUAUUAAUUUAGAUGUGUAGUUUAGAUUUUGUUCAUAGAAUUUUUAUGUUUUUUUUUCUAUUGUAUUUUUGUUCAUAGAAUUUUCUUUGUCAAUUUAUGUAUAUGUUCAUAUUGUGUAUGUAUAGGAAAAUUGUGUAUGAUCAAAGUCAUUUAUGUAUAUGAAAUAGUUAGAACAAAAAGGAGAGAUAAAAGGAAAAUAAGAAGAGGAAGAAUAAGAAGAAGAAGAAGAAGAAGAAGAAGAAGAAGAAGAAUAAGAAGAAGAGGAGAGGAAGAAGAGGAGAAAUUAAUAAGAAGGAGUUCUACUUCUUCUUCUUCUCCUAUAUUCCUUCUUCGUCUCCUCUUUUUUUUCCUUUUUUUCUUCGAUCUCCUUCUCUAUUCCUUUCUUAUUCUCCUCUUUUUUUUCUUCUUCUUCCUCUUCUUAUUUUUUUAUCGGGUAUGUCGUUGUCGAUAUACCCCCCCCCCCUACCCGAUAACUUUUAGUAAGUACUAGUUAGAAAGUGCUUAAUUAAUUAGUAGUUGAACUAGUUGAUUUAAUAAAACUACUUUAUUUUACUAUAUAUAGAAGUAGUUUAUUUUUAGCAAGUACUACUUUAUUUUAUUUAUAGUAAGUGCUUAGUAGUUGAACUACUUGAUUUAAUAAAACUAGUUUACUUUACUAUAGUGGUAGUUUAUUUUUAGCAAGACAAUUAAUAGAACUAGUUUAUUUUUUAGUUAAAGCAAUUAUUCCCGCAUCGACAUCGAUGAUGCCUAUCCCGCAUCCUUGUCGUCGACUUGGCGGAGGAGGCCGGCUUGAUCAGAGGGGCCAUGUCCGGGACUGGGCUCCGUCGGGAUGGUUUUGGGAUGUGCUACCUUCUGGGGGCCGUAGGUUGGUGAGGAGCCAGCCCGUCGUUGACCCGAUCCUUGUUUGGUGGUGGUCGUGUAGGCCAGUGACGGUGCCAAGGCUUCCGGACACCGCGGAGGUGGUACGUCACCGUGUCAGCGAGGAGGACGAGCACGUCCGUCGCAACAUGGUUGCGUUGGACGGCAGGUUCGAAAAUACCUGGCAGGUUCUUCAUGGAUCUCACUGGAGCGAUCCCGUGAUGGUUCCUUCUCUUCGGGUGUCCACCACCCGUGCCGAUACCCGUCGGGCGCUAUGGUUCAGCUGUACUAGCGAUGUUAUAUGUAUGAUAGUAUUCGAAGUGUAUUAGUGAUAAUAUUCGACGAUGUACGGACGCAAGAGAUGAUGUAGUUUUGCUUAUAAUUGAAUGCAUCCUAAUUUGAAUACUACUUUAUUUGGCGAUUUGAUUUUGCUUAUUGAAUGCUCAAAUUGGAAAACUACUCCUACUUUGAAUGCUAAAAUUGGAGAGCACUAUGCAAGGCGUAUGCAUAUGAUUAGUUGAUAGCUUAUAGGGUUUUUGUUUUCGCAGAAAUCUAGGAGCCCCCCUCCAUCAUCCCUGCCGUCGUCCCUGUCACCGACCCCAUCCGACCUCGAGGUGAGAAAAGCCAAAUCCUUUUUUUAGAAAGAUAAUUAAACAAUAUUUCGGGUUAACUUUAAGUCUGUCAAGUCUCCACCAUAUAUGAGAGGACGAAGAAUCCCAACUGUUGUCGUGGGGGUUGUUUCUCCUUCUUCUCCGGGUGCUAGACCUUUGUUAUGCACUAGGGGAAGAAGGAGUAACGACCAUCACCGACGAUCGCAAAUGUCAGAGAGGAAUCAGUGAGGGAGAGUUCCACCAUAUAUAUAUAUAUAUAUAUAUAUAUAUAUAUAUAUAUAUGAGAGGACGAAGAAUUCCGACUAUUGUCGUGGGGGUCGCUUCUCCUUCGUUCCUGUGUGCUAGACAUUUUGGUGUAAUGCACUCGGGGACAAAGUGAGGAGCGACCAUCACCGAGAGUCGAAUAUAUACACCACAUGAGCUGAGAGUUUUCAAGAAAAGACUCGACAGACCGAUAGUCAACCCAUGAUGAAUAAUAAUGAUAUAAUUUAGUUUUUGUAGUACAUAUAUUUAAUUGUACAAGUUUAAUCUUUGAAUUAUGAACGUAGGAAAUGUCGUCAUCAGACGACGAAAGUCUCCCGGGGGAGUGCAUCUGGUGCCAUGACGAUCGAGGUCUGUGUGACAUGCCUCACCUGGACGAUGAUCAGCGCUUCAACAUUAAGCUCGAGGAGACCUUCGAUGUUGAAACGGUACGCAACGACGACAAGUGUUUUUUCGUAAUUAAGCAUUACUACAAAUAUUUCAACGUGUAAUUUUCAUCUUUUACAAUUCGAGUAGCUUAUCCCAUGUCAUGCAAGGUGCUAUGUCUUGGAGAGGAUGGGUUUUGAAGACGAUGAAAGUUUCAAAACAAAGAAAAUUCAUCUAAGGACUCAUCAUGAUGUGGAUUUUGAAGUAAAGCUUUACAAUUCUGAGAGAGUAACUCAUUUUGGUUACAAAAACUGGGAAGCACUUUGCAAGAUGUAUGGUUUUGAUGAGGGUAUGCUUGUCACCAUGGAUCUUGGUGAUCCUGAAAUCGAGCAAGACAAUAUGGACAUUUGGGUCCUUGUUGAUACGCCUCCAAUUCUAUCGCUAUGUGAGUUUAGUUUCUCAAACAUAGUUAUUAGCUAAUUUAUAUUGUUUAUUUCAAAAUAGUUGACAACUUAUUUCCAUUGACAGCUUAUUUUCAUUGUUCAAAGAAUGUGCAGGAGAUGGUAGACAAAACCCACUACACCGAUGGCUCCAAAUUAACUUACAAGGAGAAAAAUCAUCUGGUCGGAUUUUGUACUGACAUUGAGAAUCACAAUAUCUACAAUCAAACUCCUCAACAUUAUGGUCAAUACGUGCCACUAGUGCAUGUGUUCAACUACGGUAACUACCAUGGAGAUACCCUGGUAAGAUUUUUUACUAUUACGACAUUUGUGCAUCUUUGGCAUACUUCUAAAACUAGUACAUCAUUGCUAACUAUGAAGUUAUUACUAUGUUUUUCAAUAGAUAAUCCCAGAGAAUUGUGUGCCUCAUUUGAUGUAUCAGAAAGGUAGCCUUAAUGUUUUGAACAUACAGUCAGGUCAUCCUACAAAUCUCAACUCUCCAUACCAGAUUUCUAAAAGAAGUGGAGACAUGCAAAUCAAAGGAUGGAAAAAAUGUAUGGACAGUCGUAAGGAGGUUCUUGGAAGCAAAAGGAAGCGAAGCGCAAGAAUUGGAGACAGGAUGAUCUCCAUUCUCCAUAAUGGAGAGUCAGCGUCUAUUUUGUUUUAUGCCAUUUUACCUUAAAGAGAGUAUUUAGGUCCUACCUAAUACUGAUGAUCAUGUGCUAAGAACAAUUAAGUAGGGUUGGUUCGAUGACUAUGAGGAUGAUGAUCGUAUGACUUGUUAUUAAUAACGAGUAGAAGUUGUAUGAUGAUGAUUAGUAGGACUUGUUAUUAUGAUGAUGCAUGAUGCGAGCAUGAAGAGUUAUUAUAUAUCUGUGGGUGAAAUGAACAUGGAUUGGAUUGAAGUGAAGGCAACAUGCAUGUGGUGCAUGUCGAAAGUAGUACAAUCCAAACUUGAUCAAGUUAGGAUUAGAAUUACUUUCGACAUGCACCACAUGUUGCCUCACUUCAAUCUAAGUCAUGUUUAGGCAUAGCAGUAGCAGUAGCAUGGAGAUAAGAGAGGACACAUCUCUCUAUUAGCUAGCUAUACAAACCUAAAUUAACCCCCAAAACCCCAAAACUACCUCCUUUCAAAAAAACCAGCCGCUGAAAUACCGACGCGUGGAAGCUUAUUGGUCCCGGUUGGUGCCACCAACCAGGACUAAAGGCCCACCUGCCUGGGCUCGCCACAGCGGCCACGUGGAGGCCCAUCUGUCCCGGUUCGUAUAAGAACCGGGACUAAAGGCCUAGGGCAUUAGUAACGACCCUUUAGUUCGGGUUCCCCAACCGGGACAGAUGGGCCUUAUGAACCGGGACAAAUGGGCCUUUUUCUACUAGUGUGCUUAUCUCCAUAUCGAGGUGUCUAAUUAAGCAUUUAUUCUUUAUAAAUAAGCACCAGUACUUAGGCAAAAAUCAGCAUCCCCUCUAAGCGCCACUUACGGAACUCAAAAUAUUUUCAAAGAUAUUCAUUUUCCUCAAGAGGCGGACAAGGCAGUUCAUCAAAUGUCCCCUAGAUGUCUUGAUCGGAAAGUUCGGACAUUUUUGGACAUACAACACGCGGGCAUCAAUUUUGUCCGGAUCAACGAAAUCCACAAACCAGAACCAAAUGUAGGGAAGGUUUGUGGGCAUUUGGACCUUCAUCACAUAGGCCUCAGAAAACAUGGGCUCACAUACAAAACCCUCACUACCGGAAUAAGCUUAUAUGCCUACGGCCUUAUCUAUGCCUACGGCAGUCGUAGGCAUAGUAAGGCCGUCGGCAUACAUCGAUCUAUGCCUACAGCAGCCAUAGGCAUAGUUAGGCCGUCGGCAUAGAGGUGGCUCUAGUGGCCCGGGGACAGACGGCGGGCCGACGCUGUCAAAUCUAUGCCGACGGCUCUGACGGCGGCCGUCGGCAUAGAUAUCAUCUGUAAAGUUGUAGGCAUAGUUUUCCAUCUAUGCCUACGGCAAGGCCGUAGGCAUAGCCCCGCCACGUGGCGCCUCCUGGUAGCUCCUGGCCGAGAACUAUGCCUACGGCUGUGCCGUAGGCAUAUAUAUCAUCUGUUUUUUAUUUUAAAUUAUUUUUAUUUUUGAAAGUUAAAAUUUGAUUAAUUUAAAUUUAACUUAUCUAAAAUUAAACAUACACAAAUUAUACAUCGAUUUGGGGUAGAAUUUUCCGUAGAUUAUGAAUAUCCAGGUUGUUUUGUUUUUGAGUAUGUUAGAAAUGUGACCUCAUGUACUUUUGCAUAUAGGUCCUUAUACUUUGUUAAAAUCAUAAGUAAUUGACAUGUGGAUCGAUUUUGACAAAUUUAAUAUGGUUUUUAUCAAAAUCUUGAAAGGAUUAUGUUGCUAUACUAUGUUUCAAAUUUGAACAAACCAAAAUCAUGUUUGCUUCAUAUUUACAGAAAAUACCCUUUUAUUUUGACUUAUUUGUUUAUUUUUCAUUCCUUGUCCAAAGAGACAAAAUUUAUAUCUACAUCCAUUAGAUUCUUUCUAGGAUUAUGAUGGAAGGUGUAAACACUGAGCACGCGGCUCCAGAGUGUAACCCCCUUCAUGGACGGUGCUGCUGCUAGCACUGGGAGGGUGGAAAUGACCACGUCGAGUCAAACCGGAGGGAAUCUUGUGGUGGGUUGGGCCCCAACCUUGGUCUGAAAUGUUUCUAUGGGCUGGCCUAUCACAACCAGGUGGAAAAGUCCGUCGGGCAAAGGCCAUCCGGUGAAAGUUAAAGGCCUGGAUCUUAGGGUCAACGGGUAAGGGUUUGGCCGGUCGGGGGCCUUCAGGGGUAGUAAUGCCAAUAAACUUGCAUUGUGUCUUAAUAUAUGUAUACAAGUGUGAUGGAGGGUUGAAAUAGCCAACAGAGCAACAUGCAGCACACUUCCUUCACAAAACCGGACAUGUUCUCUCUCAAUAGCUAGAUACUACGUCGGAGAUGUUGCAAUUUACAAGCUGCCUCCGGUCAGGCUCCUACAAAAUUCGCUCAAACUUUUACCACAACCUACAAGGGCCAUAUGACGACACUGUGCGAGGUCCCGAGAAUUUCCGUCAUCAUAUGAUUUUCCGUGGAGUUUAACGGCUAGGUCCGGCAUGCCGCUGAGGUAUAUUGGCCCUCCGAUGGCGGGGGAUGCCCCUCCUUUGGUUGCACAAGGCCUACACAUACUGCAAAGACAUCAUAUAUGAUUUAAUAAAACACUUCUAGACAUCAUUUCAGGUGAUCACCAUGCAGAUCUGCAACUUGCCGCAUUGAAAUCCUACGGAUGCAAUAAAUGUCUCAAAUAUUACAGGCAACCCAGAAAAAUGUCAUGUCCGGGCACGUGUCAUGGAAUGGCCCAUUUGAGCACACGAAGUUUCGAGGUCAACGGAGCAACGAGCAACACUUCCUUCACAAACCGAAGAAGUUCUCUCUCGAUAGCCGCAUACUACCUCGGGGAUGGUGUAGUUUACAAGCGGCCUUCGGUCAGGCUUCUGCGAAACGAGCUCAAACUUUUACCACACUCUACAAGGGCCAUACGACGACACCGUGACAGGUCUCGAGGAUUUUCGGCAUCGUAUGAUUUUUCGUGGAUUUUAAUGGCUAGAUCCGGCAUGCCGUUGAGGUACAUUCACCCUCCGGUGGCGGGGCUUGUCCCUCCUGUGGUUGCACUAGACCUACACAUACCGCAAAGACAUCAUAUAUGAUUUGACAAACCACUUCUGGGUAUCAUUUCAGGUGAUCUCCAUGCAGAUCUAUAACUUCCCGCAUUAAAACCCUACAGAUGCAAUAAAUGUCUCAAAUAUUGCAGGGCCCCAGAAAAAUGCCAUGUUCUGGCACGUGUCAUGCAAUGGUCCCCUUUGAGAGCAUGAGAAGUUUCGAGGUCAACGGAGCAACGGGCAACACACUUCCUUCACAAAGCGGACAAGUUCACUCUCGAUAGCCACAUACUACCUCGGAGAUGGUGUAGUUUACAAGCGGCCUUCGAUCAAGCCUCUGUGAAACGAGCUCAAACUUUUACCACACUCUACAAGGGCCAUACGACGACACUGUGCCAGGUCCUGAGGAUUUCCGGCGUCGUAUGAUUUUUCGUGGAUUUUAAUGGCUAGAUCCGGCAUGCCAUUGAGGUACAUUCGCCCUCCGGUGGUGGGGCAUGUCCCUCCUGUGGUUGCACUAGACCUACACAUACCGCAAAGACAUCAUAUAUGAUUUGACAAACCACUUCUGGGUAUCGUUUCAGGUGGUCUCCAUGCAGAUCUGUAACUUCCCGCACUGAAACCCUACAGAUGCAAUAAAUGUCUCAAAUAUUGCAGGCGGCCUAGAAAAAUGCCAUGUUCUGGCACGUGUCAUGCAACCCCUUUGAGAGCACGAGAAGUUUCGAGGUCAAUUAAGCAACGAGCAACACACUUCCUUCACAAAACCGGACAAGUUCUCUCUCGAUAGCCACAUACUACCUUGGGGUUGGUGUAGUUUACAAGCGGCCUCCGGUCAAGCUUCUGCGAAACGCGCUCAAACUUUUACCACACCCUACAAGGGCCAUAUGACGACACCGCGCCAGGUCCCGAGGAUUUCCGGCAUCGUAUGAUUUUUGUGGAUUUCAAUGGCUAGAUCCGGCAUGUCGCCGAGGUACAUUCGCCCUUCGGUGGUGGGGCAUGUCCCUCCUUUGGUUGCACUACACCUACACAUGCCGUAAAGACAUCAUAUUUGAUUUGACAAAACACUUAUGGACAUCAUUUUAGGUUACAAGCGGCCUCCGGUUAGGCUUCUCCGAAACACGCUGAAACUUUACCACGCCGUACCGUGGUCGGCUCGGCCCAGUCGGAAAGCAUGGGAAGGAGCGAGCCGUUUAGGCCGAUGCCCUUCUCCAAAGUUGUCAAGUGUUUACCCGGAAUAAGAGGAGAAAAUACAAUUGCAAGAGCUUAAUUCUCAUUGGUGGAACCAACUAUGCCAUGGAUUGAUGACAUGGCUCACAUCCAUCCAUCCAUCUCUCCACCCCACAUACAUCCAUCUAAAGAAAAGGAGGAGGAAAAGAAAAAAAAAA